Molecule: long non-coding RNA, 81092 nt
Filed under: Vitis vinifera (wine grape)
Lineage: Eukaryota; Viridiplantae; Streptophyta; Magnoliopsida; Vitales; Vitaceae
Description: long non-coding RNA (VVIN_LNC001266)
Source: RNAcentral
CGAAAGUAAAGCACUAGUCUCAGAUGUCUUCUGAGUAAAAGGAUAACUUUCUCACUUGUUAAUAACAUAAUUAAGAUCCACGUAUUUGUUUUGUUUUGUUUUGUUUGGUUGGCUUUAUUAUUAAUAUUGUUUUUUUUAAUCAAAAUCUUUUCCUCUUUUUUCGAAUUUGUAAGAACUUUCUAGGUCAUAACGGGGAGUAGACCACCACUUGAAAUUAACCUGCUCAUUUCCGCAUAAGAUCAUAGUAUUUCUUUAUUAAAAACUAGUGGAUUACUUUGAACCUUCCUCAGAUGAAGCUGCCUCUACCUUUGAAAACUUGAGACACACCUUCACACAAGGGAACCUUGACACACCUUCACACAAGGGAACCUUGGUCCAAUCCAUCUAUAAAUACCACCCUAGUUCUCACAUCUCUCCUCACCUCGAACCACUCUCUGCAAUCCAAUCAAUCCUCCUUCUCUUCCUCUUUUGAUCCUUUUCAUUUCAAGCUCUAAGAUCAUGGGUGUUUUCACUUACGAGCAGGAGAUCACUUCUUCAGUUCCCCCGGCCAAGAUGUUCAAGGCCGCUGUCCUUGAUGCUGACAACCUCAUUCCCAAGGUCAGGCCUCAAGCUAUCAAGUGCGUGGAAGUCAUUCAAGGAGACGGAGGCCCUGGAACCAUCAAGAAGAUUCACUUUGGUGAAGGUUAGUUUCUAUUAUAAUAAUUGCAACCCAUAUAACUAUCAGUGCAUGUUAACAGAAGAGACUAAUGGGGGUUCUGUUUUUUUUUUUUUUAUCUUUCUGGUUUCCAGGCCACAAAUUCAAAAGCAUGACACACCGGGUUGAUGCGAUUGACAAAGAGAAAUUCUCAUUCUGCUACACUGUGAUCGACGGGGAUGUUUUGACUGACGGCGUUGAAUCAAUUUGUCAUGAGCUCACAGUGGUGCCUGCUCCAGGUGGAGGAUCCAUCUACAAGAACACCAGCAAGUACCACACCAAGGGCGCUGAGGUCUGUGAAGAGCACGUUAAGGGUGGCAAAGAGGAUGCUCUCGCAACGUUCAAGGCUAUUGAAGCCUACGUCCUGGCCCAUCCUGAUGCCUAUUAAGUUUCCUGUCACGUUCUAUUGAGUAAGAGAUACUAGUCUCUUGAGUGCUCUACCUUCAUAGCAUCAGUCAAAGUGUGGAACUUUUGUGUUUUUGCCAUAUGGCCAAAGUAGCCUCGGCUUAAAAAUAAGAUUUUCCUAGGUGUGAACCUUGGUGUACUUGUAAUGUUUUGUUGGAAUGAAGAGUCAUGGUUGUAUUACCUCAAUAAAUAUAAUGAAAAUCAUCUUCUUAUGUUGUAUUACCUUAAUAAAUAUAAUGAAAAUCAUCUUCUUAUUAAGUGAUCAUAUAUAUUUGAAUUGACAUGAUUGGGUUAUUGCUUUUAUUUCAGAAAUUUUCAGGAAAACUUGAUACGUUCUGCAUAAAGCCUUUCUUUUCUUAUCUAAAUUUAUUCGAGACCUAACUCUAGCAACAUUCUAAAGCAUAGAAAUUGAAAGAAACAAAAAACAAUGAGGCCAGUAAUUAAUUUGGAAGAAACCCUACUUUCAAUUUUUGUUUUUAUUGCUUUAAUCAACAUUGAGUUAGCAUUCGUAUAAAGGGUAAUUCAUCAUAUGAUUUUCCACACUAAACUCAAAAGAAAAAAAUGGUUGAUAUGUGUUUCUUAUAUGUAUAUCCUAAAUUUGUACAGCUACAUACACCUUAGUAUUGAUAAGGUAUGUGUAUCCCAAACUGUUUUUGGAACCAAGUACUUUGUAUUUUUGUUGAAGGUCCUCCAAAAAAUGGUGUACGGAUUGGCAUUCCUGUAAUUGUUCUCUGAAAGUGAUUUGCCAAUCCAUAAAUGCCACUACAAGCUUUUGAUUUAGUGAUCGCCAUUUUUGACUUCUUCCAUGAUUAUGCAUUUCCAAAUCAUAAUUAAUUAGUUAGGUGGAUCACGAGAUUUGUCUUUAUUUCUUUCCAAAGUCCUCUGCAGCCGGUGUUGAAUAAGUCCAACCUUCUAGUGUUCUGCCAAAUAUGAAAUAGAAAAAUAGCCAUAUGGUGAAUAAUAUAAGACAUGUAGGACUAUAUGAGAUAGAAGAGUUCUUAAUUUUCUUCCCUUUCUUUAUGGGAACUUAUCCACUUGCACAGCCUACAUGACAUGUGUCCUUUUCCUAAUUCAUCACCAUUUAAUGUCGACCCAUGAAGAAACACAUCCACAAAUAUUUGGUUGGAUAUCCAAGGUAAAGGUUCAUUGAAUCGUGUAUUCUACUUGUCGUUUACUUGUAGACUACAUGAAUUGAAAGUAGACAAAAAUUCCCAGAUUUCCAACCAAAAUCCAAAACAACUGUAAGUGGAGCAAAAGUCCCAGAUUUCUAACCAUAUCCAAAUCCUCUUAAAGGUGAAUUCUCAGGUUGAGGACCUCCAAUUGGAGUCCUCCCCCACAAAAGAAAGUUCUUCAUUGUAAAGUAAUAGCUUAGUUACUUGGUACCUUACUCAGACACACCCAACAAGAGAAUUAUCCAUCAAAAUGAAAACUGGAAACAUCUUCGCACAAUGGAACCUAGACCCCCCUAAUUCUCACAUCUCUCCUCUUCUCAAACCACUAUAUCUGCAGACAAACCACUCUCUAUAAAUACCACCCCUAUCUAGAAACUUCCUCGUGAAGGUAUACAAAAAGCCCAGUGAAAUUAAAGAGGAGGGAUUUUAGUUUUCUGCCAUGUUAUUUGCGUACCAUGCAUGAAAAAGUCUAAAAUGCAUAGUUGUAAUGUUCCUUUUGGACAAUUUCAUGCGUCUGUUUAACCAUUUCAGUUUAUUCAUUCUGAUGUAUGGGGCUAUCUCUAGUUUUGGUAGUAAAUGGAGUGAGAUAUUUUGUUCCUUCUAUUGGUGAUUUUACAAGGUUCACCUGGAUUUAUAUUUUGCAAAACAAAGAAGUGGUUUUGAUACUUUCAUCAAAUCCCAGGCACUUGGAGAGACUCAGUUUGGCACAAGAAUUCAACAAAUACAAUCUGAUUGGGAUGGUGGGUUUCAAGUUAUUUCUGCUUAUUUGGGAAAACAUGGCUUGAUUCAUAAAAUCCCUUGCCCUUACAUCCCUCGGGAAAUGGUCUAGCAGAACAUAAGAACUGCCAUGUUAUUAAAGUUGGAUUUUCUAUGUUGGCUUAAUGCAGCAAGGCCACUCAAAUAUUGGCCAUUUGCGUUUCAAACAACAACCUGCUGGAUCAAUCAAUUGCCCAAAGGUUCUUUUGUUUCUUUCUAUCCUCAUGAAUCUCUUUACCACUGCAAACCUAAUUACUAUGUUCUUCGAGUUUUUGGGUGUGCUUGCUACCCUUUUCUUCGCCCUACAACAAGCACAGACUUCAAUUUUGAUAUACUAAGUGCCUUUUCUUGGUUUACGACCCCAAACAUAAAGUACAUAUGCUUUUAUUUAGAUAACUCUUGUGGCCGAAAUUAUGUCUCGAGGCAUGUGGUAUUUGGUGGAUUUCAUUUUCCUUUUGUUGUACAAAAUGUUUCCUCUCCUGUCUCAUCAACUCCAUCCUCUCUUGUACAAAAUCUUGUCAUGAAACUGAAUUCUUUUACCGGAAGUACUUAAGAAUUUAUAGUAGCAACAAGCUAUGGUAGCUGAGUGUAUAUGAAGCCUUUAUCAUGAUCAUCGUUUCAACCAUCCUCUUUCUCCAUCUUCCAGCCUUUAGUCAUGCUGAUUGGGCCAGUUGCCUAGAUGGUCGUUGCAGUACAAGUGGUUAUUGUGUCCUUUUGGGGUCAAGCUUGAUCUCCUCGUCUGCUGCUAAACAGAAGAUCGUUCCAGAUCGAGGACUGAAUCCGAGUUUUAAGGUUUGGCCAAUGCAACAGCUGAAUUGACAUGGAUACAGUUUCUUUUUAGGGGAUUAUUUAUUCCUUUGAUUCAGCCACAUGCUCUCUACUGUGAUAAUUUGAGCACAAUGUACUUGGCCACUAAUCCGAUUCUUCACUCCUGUGCCUAACAUGUGGUGAUAGACUACCAUUUUGUUCAUAAACGAGUACUACAGAACACGUUGGAUGCUUAUUUCAUUCCGUAUGAGUCAAUUGGCAGAUUUAAUGACUAAUGCUCUUCCUACAAGUCGGUUCAUUAGCCUUCAAAGCAAGACCAUAAUUCUUUCUCACUUUGUGCUCUUGUGGUGAUGUUAAGCUAAGUUUCAACUUCUUCCAAAAGCUUUCCAUGAAUGUAUAAAUAGCCCAUUGCAAUUAAAGAGAAGUGGGAUUUUAGUUUUCUUCCAUGCUGUUUGCUCUGUUCCAAAAGUUUUCACCUUUGAUCAUUUUCAAACUCUUAACAUCAUAGGUGUUAUGAGUAUGAGAUCAUUUCUUCAAUUACCCCAGCCAAGAUGUUCAAGGCCUUUAUCCUUGACGCUGGAAACCUCGUCCCUGAGGUCCUACCAUACCAAAGGCGAGACAGAGAUUAGUGACUAUUAGAAUAUUAUAGCAUUUAUGUAAUUAGCUAUUCCCAAUUCAGUUGAUAUUGUUUUCUUUUCUGAUAUUUGAUGAGCUGGAGUAGUUAGUGUAGUUGUGAGACUCCAAGCUACAGAUAGGUCACCAUUUUUGUAUCCCGUACUGGACAGAAAUCUGAACAUCAAUGGGAUAGACAUUUUCCUCUGUUUUUCUUUCUCAACACUCUGUUUUUGACUAUUAGAAUCUUAUGGCAUUUAUGUAAUUAGCUAUUCCUAAUUCAGUUGAUAUUGUUUUCUUUUCUGUUAUUUGAUGAGCUGGAGUAGUUAGUGUAGUUGUGAGACUCCAAGCUACAGAUAGGUCGCCAUUUUUGUAUCCCGUACUGGACAGAAAUCUGAACAUCAAUGAGAUAGACAUUUUCCUCUGUUUUGGUAAUAGUGACUAACAAAUGAAGACUGGUAAAGUGAAGGCAAAGCAGAGAUAUAGUUAGACCAGGUUUUUUCUUCCUAAUUAAUAGAAAAGACUACCAACAAAUGUGUGUCAACGAGUCCAUCAUGGACGAAAGGAAGAUCAUAUUUGAUUGCAGUCUACUAGUCUAGGGUAUUUUAAAACAAAGAGGAAAGAAGGGUCUGAGCAGUAAUUUGGAUAAGCUUCUCACACUAGUUAAAAAAACAAAAGGGGUAAGCUGCUCAGACUAUUAGAAUUUCUAGUCAUUCAAGUUAUUCCUAGUAAAAAAAAAAAUGUAAGCUUCUCACACUCCAUGAUAUGGGCUUAAUUAAUGCCCAUUGUUCUGUUUUCUGCAUGGUAAGUUCUCAGGUUGACAAUGGAAAGCAUGCAUUAGACCUUCACAUGAAAGCUUGUCCUUUCCCACUGAGAAAAAUUCUUUAGUGGAAAUUAAUUGAUUACAUUGUAGCUUCUUCAGGGGAUCCAACAAGAAAAGAAUGGAUUACCUCAAACCUUGGAAAACUGGGAACAAUUUCACACAAGGGAGCCUUCGCCUCAAUCUAUAAAUACCACCUCUAGUUCUCACACCUCUCUUCACCUCAAAGCACUCCCUCCAAACCAAUAAACCUCUUCUCCUCCUCUGAUCAUUUUUUAAACACUAGCAUAAUGGGUGUUAUCACUUAUGAAAUGGAGAUCACUUCUCCAAUCCCCCCAGCCAAGAUGUUCAAGGCCUUUGUCCUUGACUCCGACAACCUCAUCCCGAAGAUCUGCCUCAGGCUAUCAAGCGUGUUGAAACCAUUGAAGGAGGUGGAGGGUCGGGAACCAUCAAGAAGAUUACUUUUGGUGAAGGUUAGUUUGCAUUAUCAUGAUUCAUCAGCACUGUAUGAAUAAUCCUUUCAAAAAUCUUAUUCUGUUUUCAUCUCUUAAAAGUAAUAGAAGUUCUUCCAAAAUGCCAUUAGGACAAUAGCAUAAAAAUCCACUGGCAUGAUAUUAUAUGUUACACAAUGGAGUAACUAACAACAGUUUUUUUUUUCUUUCUUUUACGUUCAGGUAGUCAAUUCAACUACAUAAAGCACCGGAUAGAUGGGAUCAACAAAGAGAACUUCACUUACAGUUACAGUGUGAUCGAAGGUGAUGCUUUGAUGGGCACCCUUGAAUCAUUCUCUUAUGAGGUCAAGUUGGUGGAGGAUCCAUCUGCAAGAACACCAGUAAAUACCACACCAAAGGGGACAUUGAGAUCACAGAAGACCAGAUCAAGGCUGCCAAAGAGAAGGCCAUGGGCAUGUACAAGGCUGUUGAAGCCUACCUCUUGGCAAAUCCUGAUGCCUAUUAAACAGAGUGGUCCAUAUUCAAUAUAGUACUAGUCUCUUGUGUCUCCCUUCAUGUCAUCAGUUAAAGGUGUGGAUUUUAUAUUGUUUCUGCAUAUGGCCAAAACAACCCUAGGCUUUACAAUAAGAGUUACCAUGCAUGAUCCUUGGACUUGUAAUGUUAGAUUGCAAUGAAUGUCAUUGUUGUAUUUUUCACAAAGUGUAAUGAAAUUCAUCAAUCUUUUAAUCAUUAAGAAAUAUUUGAGUUGCUAUCCUCGGGUAAUUGCUUCUAAUCCAAAAAAUUUCAAGCAAAUUUUCUGUAUUUUCAAUAGAAUGGCUGAAUGUCCAGAAAAACCUCAAAUUUCUUUAUUUAUUUAUUUUUUUGUAUUUAUUCAGAUCCCUGAUCAAGUCAAUGAAGAAUGAAAGAAAUAUAAUAUCCACUGGCAAUCCAACAAUAUUCUGGAAAAAAAAAAAGAAAAAGAAAAGAAGAAGAGGGUCAAAUACAGUAAUAUAAGAUCCAAACUCUAAGCAAGCUAUAUAACUCAACCUAAAUCUAAUUCUACUCUAAUUUGCCUUUUUUCUUUCAAUUUUUCAUAUUUAUUUUAAAGAAUCUUCACUGCUCAGAAUGUUAACAUUGGUUUGAUCAGGCAGUUGGCAUACUAGAAACCUGAAUACAUAUACCACCGGGCCUAAUUCUAAGAAAAAUGGCUGUAUCAUUUCUUAAAUUCAUUGUGAAACUGGAUGAUCAUUAGAAUUUGUUUUGAACCAGGGCAUGGUCAUACACAGUAUGCUGAAUCAGAGAUGCAUUGGCUAUUUGUACAUAAAAAGGUGAAAUAUGCAUGGGCAUAUAUUUAAAACUUGGUCCUGUUCUUUUAUUCACUGUGUAGAAGUGUAGCCAUGGGCACAUAGAUAUAGUUCAAGGCAUGGAAGAAUGGAUUAAAGGACCAUGUUGAAUCAAAGAUGUGGAUUGUAAUGGUUGAUUAUGUUAAGAAGAAUUAUCUACAACUUAAACUGAUCCUUGCCAAGCCAAGGCAGAAUUUAAAAAUAGCCAAUUUCUUCUAAUUUAUCUUUCUUUUAGUGAACAGUUUACUAAGCCGGAAAUAGAGUUACUCCAUAAGUUAUGUGUAAGAUCAAUAACUUUAUCAUAGCAUGUAUAAAUCUCUGUUUGGAACCAAGUGAGCCUUGUAUUCUUGUGGAAAGUUAUGCAAAAUUGGCAUACAGAUCAAUUUUUAUUAUUUUUGAAAGCUCUCUUAAAGUUAUUUACUAAUCUGUAAAUACUGCAUGCACUACCGUUCAGAAAUGCGGUUUGUCUAGAUUUUUAGUCGUCGUCAAUGCUUGGAGUCAUUGCAGUUGUUAUUGAAUUUGUCCAAGCUUCUAGUUGUUGUGGCAAGUUGGAAACACCAAACUUUUGAAUUGAUAGAGAGAUUCUAAUAUUUCUGAAUUAUUUAAAGGAAGUUGUCUACUGAUAGAAAUUUUUUGCCUGUUUUGACUGGGUUUAUAUCAUUCUUCACCAUUCCAAAAAAAUGACUUAUAAAGAGCCCCCUCUCCAAUUACAUGGUCAAGAGUAAUUUGAAUACUUGAUUUUUACAAUGUCAGUAUCUAAGGAAAAGACUCAGUUAGCUGUUGUAUUCAACAUAUCAUUUACUUGUAAGCUACAAGCACAGAAGGUAAAUUAAGCACUUGUAGCUGUAGGUGAUUUCUAAUCAUCCAUGAAAUUUGAGUACGAAGGCGGUUUCAUCACAUUUUGAUAAUAGAUAUUGGGUUUAAAUAAGAUAGACCGAUGGUUUAAUUUAUUUGUGUUUUCGUUUUUGUGUAUAUGAAUGAGAACUCCAUCGGUAGUCAAAUUGGCCAACCCCACCGACGAAAGUGUUUUUAUUGAAAAAUGAUGGAUUACCAUGUAGAAGGGACCCAACAGGAAAAUGGUUAUCACCUUAACCCUUUGAAAACUAGGGACACUUUCACACAAGGGAGCCCUUGGCCUAAAUCUAUAAAUGCCACCCUCUAGUUCUCACAUAUCCUCACCUCAAAACACUCCCUACAAACCCAGCAAGCAUCCUCCUCCUCCUCCUUCGAUCAUUUUCAAAUUAGGCUCUAGCAUCAUGGGUGUUAUUACUUAUGAGAUGGAGGUCACUUCUUCAAUACCCCCAGCCAAGAUGUUCAAAGCCUCUGUGCUUGAUGCCGACAACCUCAUUCCCAAGAUCCUUCCCCAAGCUAUCAAGAAUGUUGAGAUCAUCCAAGGAGAUGGAGGGCCUGGAACCAUCAAGAAGAUCUACUUUGGUGAAGGUCAGUUUGCAUUAUAUUACUUACUUGGCACUUUAUGCCUAACAUCUUAUGUCACUUUUGUCACUCUUUGAAAGCAAAACUUGUUUUGUUUAAGCUUAAAGAGAAGUAAUUCGCCAGGGAACUCCAUAAGCAUUCAUCAUUUUUGCAUGAUAUCGUAUCAGCCAGACAAGUAACGAGUGUUCUUAUGAACAUGCAGGCAGCCAAUUCAAGAGCGUGACACAUCGUGUUGAUGGGAUUGACAAAGAGAACUUCACUUACAGUUACAGUAUUAUCGAAGGUGAUGCUUUAAUGGGCAUCCUAGAAUCAAUCUCUUAUGAGGUCAAGUUGGUGGCAUCUCCUGAUGGAGGAUCCAUCUGCAAGAACAUUAGUAAGUACCACACAAAAGAUGAUGCAGUGAUCGAUGAAGAGCAAAUUAAAGCUGGCAAAGAAAAGGCUUCUGGGAUGUUCAAGGCUAUUGAGGCUUACCUCUUGGCAAAUCCUGAUGCUUAUUAAGCAGUAUAUCAUUGAGAUAUUAUUAGUCUCGUGUCUCCCUAUAUCUAUAUAUAUAUUGGUGAAAGGUUUUACUUCUACAUAUUUGUUUUUUCUGCUAUAUGUCCAAAACAGCCUUGGGCUUGAGAAUAAUAUUUCCUGAAUGUGAUCCGUCAAAUUGGUUGUAGCCUUUGAUUGGAACAAAUAGUUUGUAUUAUCUUAAAGAGAUGAAGUGGUAUAUAUAUAUUUCUACCAAGGAAUUAAUUUUGCAUUUAUGUUUUCAAUAUUGCUUUUAGUCUUCAAAUUUCCUGGCAAGGUUUAUGGAGUUUCAAGAAAAACCUCUAAUUUCAGACAACCAAACAAAAUAAUUUAAGACACUUCAUUAAAUAUUUGUCCCACUAUUGGACCCUUGGUCUACCUAAUUUAAGGUAAAACCAAUAAAAAAAAAUACAUGAGAUAAGUUAAAAAAAAAUAAUGAGAAGGAAGUUAUAUCUACUUGCAGUCUUUCGUAAUUUAGAUCAUUUGGGUUGUGAAUCCAUAAAACAAAUAACUAAAUGAACUCGUAAAAAAAGCCUAGGAGGAAUUGAUUUCAAAAAUAGUUUUUUCAACUUAAAAGACAUUUUGAUAAAUUUUGAAUGAAAACAUUCUUUUGGGAAAAAAAAAAUUGUGAAUAAAUUUGAGCUAUUUUAAUAGAAAAAGAAUAUUUUAAGAAUUUUUGUAUUUUACAUAAAUGUAUAAUAUCUUCACAAAGAAUAAACUAAAAAAAAUUAUUUUUUAUGUUUGAGUUUUCAAAUGAAGUUUUAUUUCUAAAAAGAAUUAAAAAUUAUUUUUAAGAACGAUCUAAUUUUUUUUUUUUAAAAUUGUUUUUAAAACCGUUGCUAAAUGGACAUGUCUUUUUCAAAUUUUUGUUUAUUGUUGUAACACAAAAUUACAUAAACUACCAGCAUGUAACCAGAGGAUCAAAAUGUACGUUUAUCCAGUUAUAUUCCUCUUUUUUUAAGCAUUUUUUUUUCUAAAGAAUUAUCAUUUGAAUGAAGGGGAAAGUAUUCUUUUCUCACUGUUGACAUUGAUUUGAUCAAAGGAUAGAUCUCUUAUGGUUACUGAUAUGGUUUUCAUACUGGAAAGGAAAAAAUAUUCGUAACCAUUUAAGAAAUGGGUCCCUGCUACAACAACGUCUAGCCAAACAAAACAAAACAAAUCUCUAGACUGGAGCCUAUAUUUAAGGACUGUCAACAGUCAAUGACCAACUUCUGAUUUACAAUAUUUGAUGUGUUGUUUAUUCAGCUAAAAUUACUAUAAUUUUGUCAUGCCAUGUGAAUCCAAAACUUCAUAUCAAACCAUGUGCUGUGUAUUCUUGUUGAAGGUUUUCCCACUUGUAUUCCUGUUGAAUGUACACAAAUGGUGUACGGACUUGGUCUCCUAGACUCCAAAUCCUUUCCCACUUUCCUAGUUAGUCCAUUUCUUACUCUACUUCUUCCUUGAUCAUUUCACAUUAUAAUUAAGGAGAUCAUGGGGUUUGUCUCUAUUUCUAUGACUCUUAAAUGUAUGUAUGAGAAUCAUAUAUAUAAAACAAUUGUGCUUUGAACCUAGUUGGGCCCAAAAAUUAAGCUUUGGUCCAUGUAAGUUCACUAUUUAAGCCAAAAACCUAGAGAAAGUGUAAAGAUUGAGAAAAAGGAUAUGAAUUUUUUAUCUUUCCAAAAAUGAUCUUUAUUGACUAUGAAAAAAAAAAAAGAGUAAAAAAAUAUUAAUUUAAAUUUUAUCUUUUUAUAAACCUCAAUUAAAUUUAAUUUAAUUUAGUGAUUUGGAAAAAAAAUACACCAUUUUCCAAAAAAAAUAAAAAUAAAUUAUUAUUAUUAUUAUUAUUAUUAUUAUUAUUAUUAUUUAAAAAUUAAACAUCUUGAAAAAUAUAUAUUUUUAAAAUUAUGUAUGUAAAAAAUAACUAAAAAUAUGUCAAAAUUAUUUUUUUUAAAUGACAUAUUUUUUUAAAAAAAUAGUUUUCUAAAAAAAAUAAAUUUUCAGAAUAAUUAUUAAAAAAAAUUUAAGAUAAAAAAGUUUGUCAAAUAUUAUGGUAGAAAAUAGUCAAAAUAGUUUUGAAUGGUAUAUUGGUCUCUUCACAUUUUAUAUCAUUCUCAUCAAUUAUGCAACUUUUAUGAACCAAAUUUUAAUUUUUGGGCCCAGCUGGGUCCAAAACACAAUUGUCCCGAAUCAUAUUGAGCUAGCCAUUAUUGAAUAAACUCCAAGCGUCUACUGUUUUGCCAAAUUGGUCAUUAGAAAAUUAAUUAGCAAAACGGUAAGUAAAUAGGCUAUAUGGGAAUCAUCAUGGCAGAGUAGACCUGAAAUGAGAUGAAGGGUUUGUUAAUACUAUUCCUGAUUUUGUUCCCCUCAUUUAAGGGCUCUUGUCCAUUGGUAAAUAUUUUUAGCAUGUUCUGACCAUGGAAGAAAAUAUCGGUAAUCACGGAUAUAUCGGUACUUCGAUUUUACGGAUAUAUCGGAUAUAUCGGAGAUAUAUCGGCGAAUAUUUUGGAAAAAAAUAUCGGUAGGCUUAAAAUUGUUAAAAACUCAUGGAAAUGUAAAGAAAACUUCAUAAUAAUAUAAUUAGAAGUAUAAUAGACAUUUUAAAGUUGUUUUGUAGAAAAAAUUGAUAUACAUAUGAUAUAAUUUGCGAUAUUAAAUGUAAUUAUAUCAUGUCGAUCUAUAAGAAAUGUUAAUUUUGUAAUUGUUCUCAUUAUAAAGUCAUAAAAUACUUCAUUUCAUUAAAUAGCAAUAAUUUGUACACAUUACAUUACAAUGUCCCUUUAAUACCAAAAUGAGGAUCGAUGUGGUUCAAUGGGAUUGAUAGAUGAAGGAACACCGUCUUGCUGUUGGAGACAAUAUUGGUACCAACUCAAUGAGCCUCGAUAAUAUUGGUUAAAAAUUCUAACAUGCCAUGCAUAUAUCUCUUGAGUCCUGCCCACUGCCUCUACAUGGAUAGGAUACUCAAAGUUCACCCAUGUGUUAAUGCCCAAUCCUCCUUCCAUCUGAUAUGGAACUUGGUAAGAAAUUUGUCUAGAAGGUGAAUAACGCGACAUACCAUACUCUUCAUCUGUUGAACUUGAAGGUUGACCAUAACUCAUCACAUGAGAAGGGUAGACAUUAGCCUCAUUCGAGGAGUCACUAAAUUGAGUUCCUAUACUCAUAGAUUCAAAACUCCCUGAAAGUAACUCCUCAUUAUAUGGUUCCAUCAUUCGUUCUCUUCCUCUAUAAGGCUUCCCAAUAACUCCUAUGCCUGGACCAGCUCUUCUAGAGCCAUGGUCUUCAUUCUGUGUGCAGUGUGUGAAAGUAUUUUCAUAGGUGAAUUGGUUGACUGGAUAUUGACUAUGUUGACGUUCAUUAAUAUCUCCUCCCGCAUUAUCACCUCCAUCAUCAGUUCCACCUCUUGAACCAUCGUAACCAGAAGCAGAAGUACCUGCAGCACUAGGUCUACUACUAUGGCCAGCACUUGUGGAGUCAAUCUCUUGGUGGGAAUCAUCAGUAUCUUUGCUAAAACUUUCAGAGUGAACUUCUUCAGACAACACACGUUCAACAUUAACUCCAAAUUCUUGAGCAUGAGCAGCAAUUCGUGGAUCGGGAUUUCCAACUUCGUCAUCCAAGUGUAUAGGCCUCACCCAUUGGAACAACUGAUUAUCUUCUUCUUCACCCACCUCGGCUGAAAUGUCAAGAAGAUCAAGAUAAUCUUUUUCAGCAACUCGAUCAUUUUCUGCCUCCAUAUCGCGUAACUUUAGCCUCAUAUUAUAGUAACAAAAAACUAAUUGCCCCAAUCGAGAGUAAGCCAAACGAUUUCGUUGCUUUGUGUGGAUGAGAGCAAACGUGCUUCAAUUUCUCUCACAUGCAGUAGAUGACGCAGUUUGUGAGAGAACUUUGAUGGCUAACUUUCUCAAUGUAGGUGUUUGAUUCCCAUACAUAAACCACCAUUCAACUGCAACCAAUUUGAUAAUCAUAUAAAUACUUAUGUGGUGAAUUUACAAUAAUGAUAAUCAAUUUUUUCCUACAAAGACUCACCGGGCACCAUGGUUGACCUUGCUGCAAUUGCCGCUCGAUCACCGAAUCCUCUUUUUGCAUCUCGAAAAAGCACAAGCUAUGUAUUCAACAUUUAAUUUGUUAAUAUCAUAUUUGUUAGUAAAUGUUCAAAUAAAUUGAUGAAUGAAAUUAUUGUUUUAUAGACAAAUAACAGUUUUUUAUUUACCUCAUUUCCAAAUUGACCAAGUGAUUCAGUAGUUGGAUCUAAUUUUGCAAAAACAUCAUGGACCGCUUGAAGUAGUUCCGGAUCACUACCAACUCCACGCCUAUAUUGAAAUCUUGGAUUCAAGAAGUAUGCUACAAUAAAAUUAAGUAGAGUUAGUAUUUUUUUAAACAAAAUUAAAUACAGAGUAAAAACUUAUAAAGAUAUAUAGUACUUAAGUACUUGCUGCAUGAAGUGGAUGUUUUAGUGUUUUCUCCCAACGAUUUUGUAUUAUUUUGAACAUCCAAUCUCCAGCUCCUUGACGCGUAAGGUUCUUUUUCAUCACGUGCAUAAGCUCAUACACAAAUGGCAUUGUGGGAACAACUUCAGAAUCCAUAAGUCGAAGCACCACGUAUAAUGACUCAUAUAAUGAAACUAUAUUUGUCAUUCUGUCCCAAUACGCAUGGUCAAACAAUAAUUUCUCCAAUUCUCGUCCAUGUUUUGUUCGACUCAGCUUGUGUUGUGCCCAAUCAUUACUCAUAAACAAUUUUUUCAAAUCGACCCUUUUUUUAAGAAGACUGUCAAGAGCAAUAUAAUUGGUAGAAAACCUUGUAGCUCCUGGUCGAACAAUGUCUCCACCACAAUACAGUCUCAUUUGUGCUAGUAACCAACCAUGAUUGUAAAUGAAGUUAGUUAUCUUGCGAGCAUUGUUUAUCACCUCGAUAACACUGGGUCUUUUACCAAUGUCUUCAAAGAUUAAGUCGAUGCAGUGCGCCGCACACGGAGUCUAGUAUAAGUUAUACUUCUUCAUCAAUUGUUUCCUUGCUUUCAUGAACGCCGACCCAUUAUCUGUGACAAUUUGGACCACAUUUUCUUUACCGACUUCUUUGAUAACAGUCUUCAAUAGGUCGUAUAUAUACUUGUGGUCUUUGAUAUAGUUCGAUGCAUCAACUGACUUAAGAAAGACUGUGCUCCCUUUAGAAUAAACCAUGAAAUUAAUAAUACUUAAUUUCGUGGGCCCUGUCCAUCCAUCUGACAUUAUUGUGCACCCAUAUGUCUUCCAUUUUUCUCUUUGUUGGUUCACAUAAGCUUCCAUUUCUCUGUACUCCAUUUCCAAGUACUUGUUCUUUAUGUCAAAUGGAGAUGGAGGUUCGAUUCCCAUUCCUGCACUUCAUAUAAAAAAAAAAAUGUAAAACAUGUCACAAAAGACUGUACUUACUAAAAGUAUAGCACAAUAUAACAUUUCAAAAAUUAGUAAUUAUCAGGUUGUUGUGCACCAAUAAUCAUAUUCUUGAAGUGAUGAGACUUUGCUUUUGCGGGUGCGACGCUCUCAUAAAUGAAGAAUUUGCUAAUUAAGCGUCCCAUCAUUUCUUUAAUUGCAUCACCCUUGAAUAUAUCUUUGAUAUUUUUUUGUUUUGCUGCAGAAGACUUGUAAAGCGAAGGGGCAAUAGGGGGUGAUUGUUGCGAAUGUCGCAUACUAUGUGAUUUUCGCAUCAUCGACGGUAAUCCAGGAGACUGUGAAGACUCCCCCGUUUUGCGUUUGCUUCCUACAAUAUUCUCAUAUUGUUCAUGUUCCCAUUCUGAUGCUUUCGAGGCACGAACUGCAGAUCGAUAUGCAUCCCGCUCAUCUGGGUGCAUAUCUGCCGGAUACAUAUACACAUCUUCAUUCUCAACAUCUUCAUCAUCAUCAUCUUCAUCUACCAAAUGUGUAUGAUGAGUCCCCAUUGUGCCACGUAAUUGAGCACGAAUGUCUUCAAUAUCUGCAUUUUUCUUUGCUUUUGCUUUUGUUUUGUCAUGCACUAGGAAUCGUAUCUCUUCUUUCACUUCGGGCGGCACUCUCGGACACUUUUAAGUGUUGUUAUGCGGGUCUUUUUGCAUUAAAUGAAACUUGAAUCGCAUGAUGCCUCCAUUUUUCAUCACCAACCCACAGAAAUUACAAAUUGUUCCAUUUCGGUUACCCUCAAUCAGUAAACAAUACUUCCAAGCCGGAUCUCGCCCUGGUAGGGCAGAACCACCUUCACUAGCCAUGCUAAAUCUAUUGCAAUAAAAAUACACUUGAAUGUGAUUUCAAUGUAAACAAAAAUCAAGUCAAUAUUUAAAUUUAAAUAUAUGAGAAAUGUACAAAAUAAUGAUAAAGAAUGAACAUAGUUGAUAUUCCAUAUAUUUAAUUAAACUAAUUAAAUAAUUUAGCUAAGUUAAUUUUUUGAAUCUAAAUCUAAUUUUAUGAAAAAUUUACUAAAUUAAAAAUUAAUCAUAUUUAAUAUUCCAUAUAUAGUAGUUCAUGUUAAUUAAACUAAUUAAAUAAUUUAGCUAAGUUAAUUUUUUGAAUCUAAAUCUAAUUCUAUGAAAAAUUUACUAAAUUAAAAAUUAAUCAUAAUUGGAUAUGAAACUAAAUCAUGAUAAUCAUAAAAAUUGAACAUAUUUAAUAUUCCAUAUAUAGUAGUUCAUGUUAAUUAAAUUAAUUAAAUAAUUUAGCUAAGUUAAUUUUUUGAAUCUAAAUCUAAUUUUAUGAAAAAUUUACUAAAUUAAAAAUUAAUCAUAAUUGGAUAUGAAAUUAAAUCAUGAUAAUCAUAAAAAUUGAACAUAUUUAAUAUUCCAUAUAUAGUAGUUCAUGUUAAUUAAACUAAUUAAAUAAUUUAGCUAAGUUAAUUUUUUGAAUCUAAAUCUAAUUUUAUGAAAAAUUUACUAAAUUAAAAAUUAAUCAUAAUUGGAUAUGAAAUUAAAUCAUGAUAAUCAUAAAAAUUGAACAUAUUUAAUAUUCCAUAUAUAGUAGUUCAUGUUAAUUAAACUAAUUAAAUAAUUUAGCUAAGUUAAUUUUUUAAAUCUAGAUAUAAUUCUAUGAUAAAUUUACUAAAUUAAAAGCUAAUCAUAAUUGCAUAUGAAAAAAAAUCCCAAUAAUCAUAAAAAUGAACAUAUUUCAUAUUCAAAAUAUACUAGUUCAUGUUAAUUAAAUUAAUUAAAUAAUUUAGCAUGUUAAUUAAAUUAAUUAAAUGUGAAACUAAAUCACAAAUAAUCAUCUAAAAUAAACAUAUCAAUUUAUAAUUAAAUAAUCAAAUUAACCUAAGUCAAUUCAAUAAAAAUAUACAAAUUAAUUACUAUUGAAUAUAAAAAUAACAUUAAAUCAUCCAUAUUAAUUACAAUUGCAAACAAAAUUAAUUACAAUUUAAAAUAAACAUACCUUAAAAUUGGAGUAAUGAGAGAGCAAAUGAAGAAUGAAAGCAAAAAUGGGUGAAAUUGAUGGAAAAAUGGCUAUUUAUAGAAGAAAUUUGGGCUAAAAUAGCCGUUGGAACACCAAUUUACCGUUGAAAUUUAAAUCUGGUCGUUAGAUCACAAACUGGGACAAAUCUGGCCGUUGGAUCACAUUAUUAACGUUGGAAUCGCAUCUGGGCCGUUGGAUCAACGCGGGCGUGAUCUGGGCCGUCAGAUCGCGCUGGAGAGAGGAGCAAAAUAUCCCCAAAAAAUCAGCGAUUUUCCGCGGCCGCAGGCGAUUAUUUGGAGAAAUCGCCGAUUUAUCGAUUUUCACCGAUAUAUCGCCGAUUUAUAGUCGAUUUAUUGGUGAUUUUUUGCGAAAAAUCGUCCUCCGAUUUUUCUCUUGAAAAUGUCAUGUCGCCGCCUCCCGAUACAAGAUAUAUCGGCGAUAUUUCGCGAUAUUUUCCUCCAUGGUUCUGACUGAGUUUAUGUGAUGCUUCCCAUAUCACUUUUCCAUAAUGUUGACUCAUAUAUAUAUAUAUAUAUAUGUGUGUGUGUGUGUGUGUGUGUGUGUGUAUAAAAGUUACAACCAAAGAAGCUAAUUUUACUUUAAUGUUUUGUUUUUUUGAAUUUAUACACAUUGAAGGUAAUAAUGGAGUUAUAACCUUUAAUUUAUACUUUUAAUGAAAUUAAUUACAAUAAGACCAAACACAUUGCCAUUAAGUAUCCCUUCAUAAGAGAAGUAAUAGAAAAGAAAAACUGUAGGAAAAAAAAAAUUUAAUGUUUAUAAAUUAUUUUUAUAUACUAUUUCAAACUCAUUUAACUUAUUUUAAUAUCUUAUAUAAAGAUUAAAUUAUUUGAACAUAUAUAAGUUUCUAAUUAAUUUUAAUUAUAUUUUAUUUUCUUUGAUAUUACCAUUCAUUCAAUAGAGCAACAAUAGUGAUCUUGAAGAAAUUCAAAAUAGAAAAUAUAAAUUUUAUUUUAACUCUAUAUGUUAGUGGAUUAAAGUUAAAAAAUGAAGGCAAAGGAAGACUUGUCAAUUCUAUCAUGUUCCAAAGCUUGGUUGGGAAUUUGAUGUACUUAAUAGGAACAAGACCAUAUAUUACAUAUGCAAUAAACAAGAUUAGCAUCCCUUGGUAUCUUCUAUUAAACCAAUGGUCCAAUUGAUCUUGUGUAUUACACUAGUAGAGAAAUGGAAGGAAGCUUUGAUGAUAGCAAAAGUAAGCACAUUUGAUUGCUUACGUAUUCACUAUUAGAGGUGGGGCAUCUUUAGGGAGGUCAAAGAAGCAACCCAUUGUUGCUCUUUCUACUAAUGAAGUUGAAUACAUUGCAACUUUAGUUCUAGGAAGUUGUUGGCAUCUUAGAUCUAACCAACGAAAGCAAUAUCAAUUUUUCAAAAAAUUGAUUUUUAUGGUUAAAAUAUUAACCUUUAGGUUUAAAUAUUCCAAAACCUUAAAUUUUAAGUGUUGAAAACGACAUUGAAGUUGUUGGAAGUCUCAUAAACCCACGAUUUUCCUUCCGAUGACUCAACCUUGUUUUUGACACACUUCCAAUAUGAAGGAAAGGAGGAUAGAGGUUAUUUUCUUUCUCUCUGGAUGGUGAAAAAUAAAAAUGAUAGAAACCCUAACCCCUAUGAGGUAUUUAUAGGGUUUUUAAUUGAGUUUAAGUGACUUGAGUUCAUAUGGGUUUAGGUCACUUAAUCUAACCCAAAUUAGAUCCUAAUUAAUUGUUUAAUUGUAUAAGGUCUUUGGUAGAACAUCAAUCACGAGCAAAAAAAGCAUACACUUUUGUUUUGUCACAACAAUUCAACCAUUUUAAUUACUAAGGAGCCAAUAUUUCAUGGAGGAGUAUAUUCGAGAUCAGUUUCAUUUCCUAAUUAGAGAACUUGUCAAAGAAAGAGUAAUUCAUGUUAAAUAUUGCAAAGUUAAAGAACAGUAAGUAGGUAUUUUCACAUAUUAAGUCUCUCAAUGGAUAAAUCUCUAAGAGAAAUGUCUUAAAGGUGGGAAUGAAAACAAUUAUGUGACAACCAAAAAUUACAGCAGCUAAUUAUUAAAAGUUGUAAGCAAAAUUUGCACACAUUUAAAGGCUAGUUAAAGUUUUUAGUUAUGAUAUAAAGGUAUAUAGACAUGGACAUAUAAAAUUAUUUAUUUUUGAAGUCAUUGUUUAUCGAUUACAAAAGUAGUUGGAAAGAGAUGUGAAGAGAACUCCAUGGAAAAUUUUUACGAGUGACCAAUUGCUAUGAUUUCUUUCUUUUUUCUGCUAAUUGUUUAUUAAUUAAGCCAAAAAAUUAAGUAUUUACAUUAACUGCUCCCAAAAUUCUAUGAUUUCCAUAAUUUUGUAAUGGUUUGCCAAUAUACAAAUACCUUGUCUCUAGGCUUCAGUCCACUAGACUCCAAAAAGUUUACCAAUUCAAUUCAUCCAUUUUUUAAUUCUUCUCACAUCAUUUUCAGAUUAAAUACAGUAUCAUGGAAUUUAUUCAAAUUAUUAUUAUUCAGAGCCGACAGUAUCACUACACCCCAAAAGUAGUUCUUUAUUGUAAAAAUAAUGGUUUACUUUGAAGUCUCCCCAGAAGUUUCUGAUAAUUAAGUAACGGAUCACCUUAACCUUUGAAUUUUGGGGACACUUUCACACAUGGGGGAACCUUCUUCUUGGACUAUCAAUAUCAUCCUCUAGUUAUCACAUCUCCUCACCCCCAAAGCACUCCCUACAAACCAAUAAAUCCUUCUUCUCUUCCUCGUUUUAUCAUUUUCAAAAUCUUAACAUCAUGGGUGUUAUCACUUAUGAGAAUGAGAUCACUUCUUCAAUCCCCCCAGCCAAGAUGUUCAAGGCCUUUGUCCUUGAUGUCGACAAGCUCAUCCCUAAGAUCCUGCCACAAACCAUUAAGUGUGUUGAGAUCAUUGAAGGAGAUGGAGGGGCUGGAAUCAUCAAGAAGGUUACUUUUGGUGAAGGUUUUUGAUUGUUUGAAAUUAAUGAUUUUUAGCCCUAUUGUAUUAUUAUUGACUUCCUUUUUUUCCUUAAGAGACACCCACUUCAUAAAGUUAAGAACUAAUAAUAAGAAACAUUUCUGUAAAUGUAUAGAUCUAAUUCCAACCCUCCUGGAUGUCAUUACUGUUCAAAUUUUGGCUCUAUGCCAGACCAGUUAACCUUAUAUUAAGGCAAUUAAUAUCGGACAAGAGCUUGGUUUGAGAUCAACAAUCUGAUUAAUAAAUUCUUAAUUAAACCAAGAAUAUACUUUUCACGGAACCUACACCUCUUUGAGGUAACUAUUGGAUUAAUUAAGAAUCAAAAUGUUGAAGUUGUAGUUGCAAUGCUAGUUUUGCUCUUAAUUGAUGGCAGACUUCAAAGUUUCCAUCAGUACUUGUAUUGCUGCCACCCAGUGUUAUGGUGGUUGUUACUGGUAAAAUUGAUAUGCAAUUCAAGGUAAAUUCUAUGGGAAUGAUAAUUUGGUUGUUGGUUCUAAUUUCAACCAUCUUUUCCAAACUUUAGGAAAUUUGUAUUCAAAUUUGUAGAUUAAAAUUAUACAAGGUCACACCAUAUAAAAUAAUGUUUAAUGAAAAUAUGAUUUCCGUUAUAUAUAUUAAAAUAAUAUAACAAUGAGUACUCCUUUGACCGCUACUUCUAUUUCUUUUCUUGUUAAAUAUAAGAGUCAAACUUUAUUCUAAAACAGUCCCUUAAUAUAAUAAUUAAACCAUUACAACUUUGACAAGUAAGAUCAAUAUUAUAAUUAGAAAGUGUCAUUGAUACGUGUUUUCAAUACAAUCAAUAAUCUUUUGGACAGCUUUAAUAAGACCGUUCUCCUCAAACUUUUUUAUAAAGCAAUGAGCAUCAAUUAAUGGGUUAUAUAAUGACCUUCAUAGAUGACUUUUUUUAAGGCAUGUAUAUAUAUAUUUUUUGAAACAAAAAUUACAAGUUUAGAACAAAUUUAAAGAAUUCAAGGACAAAGUUGAAAAUGAUAUAGUUAUAUACAAAUAAUGGAAUUGGGUACUGUAGACCCCCAUUUAGGCAUGGGUCGCUUUUCUCUGUUUGUUUUUGCAGAUAACGUUUUUUUGCCAGGUGCCACUAUCCCAGCGGGCCACGUGUCACAUCCUUAGUGGCCAUGAGGAAUCAACCUCGCUUUUUGAAGCUGUAGAAGGAGUGAGACAGGAAAGGUGGCUGCAGGAAGAAAAAGGCAGACAAAAAGGUGGCUGCAGAAGGAGUUCAGCAGGAAAAAGGUGGUUGCAGCAGAGAACGUUGGGAAGGCAAAUUCAAGGCACAAAAAGAAAAAGGAGGAAAAAAAAAAAAGCACGGGAAGGUUCUUCUAGAGGGGGGGAAAGAGAAAAAGAGGAGAGAAAGAAGAGAGGAGCGAAGAGUUGUAGAGGAUUUUCUCUGGGAGAGUUUCCAUCGCCAAAGGUGAGCGAAAGGGAGAAACUCCUUGAGAGUGCUGAAGCUCGAUUUCUUUUUGCUUGAGGAACCAAGUAUGUAUACAACUUUCCUUCAUCUCUCAUUAUUCUAUGCUUUUCCUUAACAUUAUGCUGUUUGGGGUGGAUAUUGAAGGCCACUGGUUUGUUUGUUGAGAGAUAGUCCUGCAUUUGUGUUCGCCAUUGUUGAUCUUAAUUUGCUCUGCCCCUUUUGUGAUUAUGAAAUGCCCAGGAAUCACGCAUGUGUUUGCAUUUGAUGUGGUUUACCCACCUGCUCAGAAGAUUCAUUGAUGAUUCAUGAAAUGGAUUUUCUAAGAUUCUCCUUUAUUUAUUCAUCUUCUUUUGCGCUCUGUUUCUCUACUUCCCCUGUUUCUUGAUAUCUUUCCAUGGUACGCGUCCAUUUUCUCGUCCCUACUCGAAAGAGAUCCUAUAAAAUCUGGGGUAGUUUCCAUGGCGGUAAAGCUCACCUCAUUAGCAUCCCCAUACCCAUUUUCGUUUAUUAUUCAUCGUUUCAUCCAACAUGCCUAUGUCCCCACCCAUCAUUCCAUUCUUAUUCCCGUUUAUCUUCAUCACGCGUAAAUCCCCAUAUGUCUCAUACUUCUCCGCCGCCAUUUUUCUUCCGGACGCCCCUUGUAUCCGGAAAUCCUCCGCCGCCAUUUCCUCCAGACGCCCAUUGUAUCCGGAAUCCUCCGUCGCCAUUUCCUUUGGACGCCCCUUGUACCCGAAAAUCCUCCGCCGCCAUUUUCUCCGAACUCCCCUUGUACCCGAAAAUCCUCCGCCGCCAUUUCCUCCGGACGCCCCUUGUAUUCGGAAACCCUCCGUCGCCAUUUCCUCCAGACGUCCCUUGUACCCGGAAAUCCCCCGCCGUCUUUUCCUCUGGACGCCCAUCGCGUCAGGAAUUUCCCGCCGCCAUUUCCUCCGGACGCCCAUUGUAUCCGGAAUCCCCCGCCGCCAUUUACACCUAGACACCCUCGCGUCCAGAAUUCCCCGCCGCCAUUUUCCUCCGGACACCCUCACGUCCGGAAUCCCCCGCAGCCAUUUUCCUCCGGACACCCUCGCGUCCGGAACCCCCCGCCACCAUUUCCUCCGGACAUCCUCGCGUCCGGAACCCCCCGCCGCCAUUUUCCUCCGGACGCCCAUUGUAUCCGGAAUUCCCCCGCCGUCAUUUCCUCCGGACGCCCAUCGUGUCCAGAAUUCCUCAGCCGUCAUUUUCCCUCCGGACGCCCAUCGUGUCCGGAAUUCCUCCGCCGCCAUCUUCCCCGGGUACCUCGCUCCUGGAAUCCCAUUUUAUAACUUCUUCUAAGUCCUGGUAUUCAAAUGGUCCCAAUUGUUUCAUACUUCGUCCUUAGAAUUUCUUUUGGUUCCAUAAUCACAUUUUCAAUAGAGCUUUGCUGCCACUUUUAUUUCCGGCAAGCAAUUUUCAUACCUCCUCUGUUUUUAAAAUGUUUUGAAAUAAGCAAGGAAUCCAUUUCCGUAAUUCCAAAUAAUGGGGUUAUCGGAAUUGGUUCAAGCAAGAUGAAAUGGGCUUUGGUGGGGGCCCUACAUAUGUGCAUUCAUGACUGAUUGAUCGUCUGAUUGAUUUAUUUACCAUGCAUGAUCGUUUUGCUAUAUUCCAUAACAUGUAUAUAAUCAUUCUGUGUUUAUUCACUAACCUCAUUCCAUGAUAGUGCGUUGCUGAUUGUUGCCCAGGUACGCAUUCACUCAUUUUGCUCAUUCACCAUACAUAUUUUGAUUCUCAUAUGUGCAUGAUAGUUCCGGGUAUUCAUUGAUUUCCUAAUUAAUUGUCAUGAUUGCUUCAUUUUAUUAGUAGAGACUCAUUUUAGGGGCUUAGAGGGGUGCUACGGUCUUUACCGUACCUUCUCGAUGAGUAACCUGACCCCUGAACCCAAUCCGGUUUUUCGUAGACCGUCUUUUCCAAAAUAUAAAGUCACAUUUAGGGUUUUUCUUUCUUAUUUUGUUUACCCUUUUUAAAAAUAAAACAAAAAUAAGUGGCGACUCCAAGUCAUUUUCUUUUUCUUAAUCAACGAUAAAAUCAAUUUUUAUUUCAAAACAAAAAAAGCGAGCUCGCCAUUCGAGUGGGAAACUCAUCGAGCAAUUGAAAAUGUGGUGUCCACAGGUACAUAUAAUGAUAUAAUAGAAAAGAAUAAUCAAUAUCUUGCAUAAAUAUGUUAGAGUAUGUUGCAUAGCAAGAUUGUUUCAAAUAGAAUUAGGUUGAAUUAAUGAAAAUGACAAUUAAUAUGUUAUCGAUCACCAACAAAACUAGGGCUUGCUUCACUAUUUUAGAAAUUAUGGAAUAUAUCAAGUCCAAUGAGUCAUUUUCAAGUAAUUAUAUGUAUGUACACCAUGUGUUCAUGUUUGAUCAUUGUGGACCAAGUUUGAUAAGAAAUUGUUUCGCUGCAUAUUUGUGGGUUAUGAUGAUAAGAAAAUAUGGAGAUGUUGCAACCUUAUAAUAUAAGUGGUUGAUGUUAUAUACAAAGCAUGCUAUAUUUGCUAAAAACUUUAUUUUUGUGGACAAUAGUACUAAUAUACACCAAAGAUUAGAGAAAUUACAGGAUAGGAUUAGAGAAGAUCCUAAAGAGAGGAAGUCAUACUUGAGUUUAAAAGAUAGUGGAUUAGAAGUUAAUUUACCAAAGACUACUGGUAAAACUACAAGCACAUAACAUAUUUACAUAUAUCAUAGAACCACAUAGGAGUGCAACCAAAUCAACAAGAAGAAUCUAUAUUUCAACCUAUAUGAUCGAUUAAAUAACGAAAGCUCAAAUCAAGGUAUGCAAAUGUUGCCUUAGUUAAGCGAAACAUUAUAAAAAGUACAAAAAAGCAAAAGGUAAUAUUUUAAAUAAUAUAAUAGCAAAAACUAAUUAAAAAAAAAAAAGAACCAUAUAAACUUAGUGAUUAGAAUUUCAAUAAAAGCUUUAACAUAUAAAUACCAUAUUCAUCAAAAUAGUAGGAAGAGAAGUGUAGAUGGGGAGAAUUGAAGAAUCAACACUGAUCUGGGUUCCCAAUGACAGAACUGCAUGCUUUCAUCCAUUGCAAUCACCAGAGACGGCCAUAAUACCAAAGUCACCUUUUAUAGCUAAUCAACAAUAGGCACCAUACCUUUUUGCUAAUAGUUUUUGUCACAUAUCUUUGCAUCAUCAUUGGCCACUGCCAUCAUUUCCAAUCACAAAUUCUGUUCACCAUCUUUCAAUAGUUAUAAAAUAGGGUUGUGAUCCCAUUCUCCAUCAUCUUCCAUCUUUGUAACAACAUGAGAUCGUGGGGUGUGAGUGAGAGGUUCCAGAGAAAGCAAUGAAGUUGAGUAACUUGGGAAUUGUUUGGGAGUAUGAGCUAUAUCUUGGCAUAUAUAUAUUAAGAGCAUGUUUGGAAUUAGCUUUUAAGCAUUUGUAAAGAAGAUUGUAUGUCUUGGGCAUUGUUUGUGGGCUUUUUUUAGUGUAUUUGUAGUGGGAUAUUUUUGUGGGUUCAAUAUUUAGUGAUAUAUGGCAUAAAAUAUUUGAAUUCAUUUUUUUAUUGUUGUUUAUCAUCUUUAAAUUAUGGUUGCAUUAUAAUAUAUACUUGUGCAAAUUAAUUUUGUUAUUUCUCUAUAAUUUAGUAUUUGAGCCUACAUUCUCUACACUUCCCAUGCUAAAACCUCAAAAUACAACAUGACCAUGUACAAUUUAAACAGCAGCUAUAUAUGACCUUUUAAUUGAUGCAAUAUGGUGAAAACAAAAUUUCUCCAUUAAUUUCAACAAAUAAAAGAAAAAUAUUAAUACAUAUUUUAACUUUAAUUAACAAUUUGCACUCAAGAAUCACUUAAAAAUUAUUAAGCUUGUUUACCCAGAAUGAAAACUAGGACAGUGUAUUAAAAUUUAAAAAGUGAAAUAUGAAGGAACAGUAUUUAAGCCAUUCCUGCUCUGAAUUGAUCUGGUCUAAAAGCAUGGAAAUGGGCAUGUGAACCUAGUUCAAGAGGAAGAGCUUUAGUUUCCUUCUACUAGGAACCUAAAUUAUUGUUAAACAUUACAUCCUUGAAAAGCAAGGUUGCUAUUAUAAUAAGAAGAUGUCAAUUAUACAUCCAGGAACCCCAGGGACAACUUUCAACAAGGUUUUUUACUAAGCUAAAACCAUGUUGUAUUACAUAUAAAUAAAACUUUCCUAUUCAUAAUUUUGUCACCACAUGUUUACCACGACUCAACUCCAAGCUAAUUAGUUUCCAGAAGUUCUCUCAGACUGUUUACCAAUUGGUAAACAUUGAUAACAUCUAAUCUCUUGUAUUCUACAAAACCUUUUCUUUAUUCCAUGCUAUCCCCUUUUGUGUAUUUUACUUCUCCCUCACAUGAUUUUCAGAUAAGGACAUCAUGUGAUCUGUAUCAAUUUUUAUUUUUAUUUUUUCUUUUUCAGUUCAAUUGGCCGACCCAAAAAGAUUUAUUUAUUAGAAAAACUAUUGGAUUAUAUUGUAGUCUUCUCAAAGCAUCUGUUUUAAAAAUAAUGGAUUACUUCAACACUUUGAAUACUGGGGACAAUUUCACACACAGGAAGCUUCUUCUCAGUCUAUGAAUAUCAUCCCUGGUUCACACAUCACCCCACCCCAAAAAAUCCCAGCAAACCAAUGACUCAUCCUCCUCCUCCUUAAUUGGGUCAUUUUCUAGUUGUAGCAUCAUGGGUGUUAUCACUUAUGAGCAUGAGAUCACUUCUUCAAUCCCUCCGGCCAAGAUGUUCAAGGCCUUUAUCCUUGACUCUGAUAAACUUAUACCCAAGAUCCUUCCACAAGCAAUUAAGUCCACUGAGAUCAUUGAAGGAGACGGAGGGCCUGGAUCAAUCAAAAAGAUUACUUUUAGAGAAGGUUAAUCUGCAUUACUAGGCAUUGGAAUAUCACUAACAUUCUUAAUUUUUUUUGUCCUCAUCAUAUUCUGUUUUUAGCUUUUAAAAGCAGCAAAAUUAAGCACUUCAAAAUGCUAACCAGAUUUGCUGGUAUGAAGGGAGCCAAUUCAAUUAUGUAAAGCACAGGGUUGAUGGAAUAGACAAAGAGAACUUCACAUACACUUACAGUGUGAUUGAGGGUGAUGCUUUGAUGGGCACCCUUGAAUCAAUUUCUUAUGAGGUCAAGUUGGUGGCCUUCUCCUGAUGGAGGAUCCAUCUGCAAAAGCACCAGCAAGUACCAUACCAAAGGUGACUUUGAGAUCACAGAAGACCAAAUCAAGGCUGGCAAAGAGAAGGCUAUGGGCCUGUUCAAAGCUGUUGAAGCCUACCUCUUGGCACAUCCUGAUGCCUACUAAGUGAAAUGGGAUAUAUUGUGACAGUCUCGUGUUGUGUCUCAAUUUCAUCAGUUCAAGUUGUGUCCUUUAUAUAUAUUUCUUCUUUGUGGCCAUAAAAAAGAUACAGGCUUGAUGAUACGAGUGCUUGUAAUACUUGAUUGGAAUAAGGAGUCAUUGUUGUCAGAAUCUGUAAAAAAAACUAGAACUUGCAGAGAAAAAAUAAAUAAUUUGAGAGUUAAGAAUUGAAGGAAGGCACACACAUCUAUUUCACAAAUGAGAAUGCCUAUUUAUAGGCUUACAACCAAAUGGAAAUUGCAAAAAAAUCUCAGCUACUUUCAGAUUUUAUUGGCACUACUUCUACUAACUAAAAACAGAAAAUUAUGGAACAAGAAUCUGAUAUGAAACAAUAACAAAGACUAAGUCUAACUAGGACUUUUUCAAACUUCAGAGGCAAACUCUCAUGAGUUCUAAUACUCCUCCUUGAGAUUUGCCUUGGACAUGCCAAGCUUCAACCUUAGGAACUCCAGCCUUGAUUUAGGAAGUGCCUUAGUCAUUAUGUCAGCAAGUUGCACAUCAGUUGAGCAAUAAUGCAACUUGACAGGUGAAUUCUUUUCAGCUUCCCUUAUAGAAUGAAAUUUACAUUUAUGUGUUUGGUCCUACCAUGUUGGACAGGAUUUUGAGCAAUGGCAAUGGCUGACUUUUUGUCAUAGUAAAGCUCUGUUGGUGAGCUUUGUUCCUGGCCUAGAUCAGCAAGCAAUUUCCUUAACCAUAUUCCUUGAUUUGCAGCAGCUGCUAAGGAGAUAUACUCAGUUGAUUGUGCCACUACUUCUUGCUUUCUUGAAUUCCAGCAAACGACACCUGAAUCGAUUGUAAAUACAUAACUUGAAGUGCUCUUCAUGUCAUCAACACUUCCUGCCCAAUUACUAUCAGCAUAGCCAUCUAGCUUAACUUCUCUUGUCUUUAAAUACCAGAUGUCAAGAUUUGUUGUACCUCUAACAUACUUCAGCACCCUUUUUGCGACUCCCAUGUGAACAUUGCUAGGUGAACUCAUGAAUCUUGAAAGCAAACCAGCUGGAAACAUUAAGUCAGGUUUGGUUGUUGUCAAGUAUAGUAGGUUGCCUACCAAGCUUCUAUAUGCAAAGGGUUCCUUAAGUUUCUCACCAUCAUUCUUUGAAAUUUUCUCAUUUUGUGCCAACGGAGUUGCUACUUCUUUACAUGAUUCUAGCUUGAAUUUCUUGAGAAUAUCAACAACAUAUUUUCUCUGUGAAAUGAAGAUACCCGAGCUGCAUUGAUAUAUUUUCAUUCCAAGGAAGUAGUUCGUGAUGCCAAGGUCAGACAUCUCAAAUACAUCUUGCAUUUCCAUUUUGAACUCAGCCAGCAAUCGUACAUUGCUUCUAGUCACUAGCAUGUCAUCAACAUAAAGUGACACUACCAAUUGCAAACCAUCCUCAUUUUGUUUCAAAUACAAAGUAACUUCAUUUUCACUCCUCCUAAAUCUAAGUUGGAUCAGGUGAGAGUCAAUUUUGCUAUACCAGACCCUUGGUGCUUGCUUCAAACCAUAUAGAGCCUUUUGCAGCUUGUACACUUUGUGUUCAUGCCCAGUAACCUCAUAGCCUUCUGGUUGUUGAACAUAAAUUUCUUCAAGAAGUCUACCAUUUAGAAAAGCUGACUUGACAUCUAAAUGGUACACUUUCCAUCCCAUUUGACCAGCAAGUGCAAGUAGCACCCUUAUAGUGUCAUGUUUGGCUACUGGUGCAAAUGUAUCACCAUAGUCCACUCCAGCAACUUGAGCAAAACCCUUCACAACCAAUCUAGCCUUGUGCUUGAAGAUUGAACCAUCCGAAUUGAAUUUGGUUCUAAAAACCCAUUUUACACCAAUUGUCUUCUUAGCUUCAGGUAAUUUUUGUCAACUUCCAAGUUCCAUUUCUUUCAAUAACAUCAAUUUUAGCUUUCAUAGCCUCAAUCCAUUAUGGAAAUCUUGUAGCUUCUAUGUAACAUGUAGGCUUAGCAUGUACAAGAUUGCACCUCUCAUACACAUUAGAUAAUGGCCUUACCUUAAGCACUGGUGUGCCUGAAGUUGCUUCAAUACUUGUACUUUCUACUACUGGUUCAAGAAUAGAUGGAGUGGUUUGAUCACAUUUAUGGACUUUCUUCAAGUCCCAAUUCUAGUAUGAAUUUUCAUCAAAGUGCACAUCUCUACUUAUCACAAUUUUCAUUCUACUCAAGCUAUAAAUUCUAUAACCUUUUGAUUCUACUGCAUACCCAACAAAAACACCUUUCUCAACUCUUUCAUCAAGCUUACCUCUCUUGAUAAAUGGCACAUGAAGGUAACACAAUGAACCAAACACUUUCAAGUGCUUGACAAAUGGUUUUACACCAGACCAUGCCUCUAUUGGUGUUUUGCUCUGAACAGACUUAGUCGGUAGUCUGUUAAGUAAAUAUACUGAGGUGUUAACUGCUUCAGCCCAUAGAAGCUUUGGUAGUUUCUUCUCAAAUAGCAUGCACCUUGUCAUCUCCAUUACCGUUCUGUUCUUCCUCUCAAAGACUCUAUUAUGUUGCUGUGAGUAUGGAGUUGUCAGCUGGUGUACAAUUCCAUCUUCUUGACAAAAAACAUUGAUCUCUUUUGAGGUAUAUUCACCUCCAUUAUCAGUUCUGAGCACCUUAACCUUUUGGCCACUUUGAGUUUCAACCAUUUUCUUGAAGCUUUUGAACACAUAGAGCACUAGUGAUUUGGUUUUUAGAAAAUAAACCCAAGUCAUUCUACUGAAAGCAUCAAUAAAUAGUGCAAAAUAAACAUAUUUGCUCAAUGAGGCUAUCCUCAUUGGUCCACAAAUAUCUUAAUGAACUAAUUCCAUCUUGUGAGUAGCUCUCUUGGACAUAUUUUGAGGGAAUGAUUUGCGAUGUUGCUUCCCUAGCUCACAACUUUCACAAGUUUGAGCAUUAACUAUGAUUUCAGGCAUGUCUUCAACCAUACCAGCUUCUUGCAUGAACUUCAAUGACUUCAAGUUGAAAUGACCAUAUCUUUUGUGCCAAACAACACUCUCAUCAAUCUUGGCACUAAAGACAUGACCUUCAACUAAAUCAAGCUUCAAAUAAAAGCUAUUUCCAUUCAUUUUAAUUUUUGCUAUCUCUAUUCCACGUACAUCAGUGAUAAACCAAAAAUUUUCUUUAAAAAAGACUACAUAUCCAUUUCUUAGCAUUUGUGUAACACUAAGAAGAUUUUGAUCUAGUUCUGAAAUGUAAAGAACAUUAGUGACAAUUUUUGUACCUCUCUUGGUGCUAAUAGCAAUUGUCUUUUUUCUUUGGCAUGCACAACUUCACCAUUUCCCAACUUGACCUUUGGUUGAACUGAUCUGUCAAUGGAGGUAAAAAUUGAUAGAUGUUUGGUCAUGUGACUGGUGCAACCAUUGUCAAUGAGCCAAGUAUUCAGUUCAUGAGAACUGAGGGCUUGUGAUGCCAUAAAUAAAUGCUCAUCAUCUUUUUUGUCUUCUUCAAUCACAUUUGCAUGUUGUUGUGUUUGCUGCUAAGAUAGUUUUUUCUUGGCUUUGCAAUACUUCUCACUGUGGCCAAGUUUAUUGUAGAAAUUACAAUUAAAAAGAGGUUUACCUUUGUACCAACAAUCUUUCUCAACAUGGUUGGUUCUGCUGCAAUGAGAGCAAGACGAAAAGUUUCCUUUUCUUGAAGAUCCUUCAACUUUCCUUUUGUUGUUCUUGAAGAACUUAUUUCCUUGCAAGUUUCUAGAACUCUUUCCCUUAUGAUUUGCUUGAAAAACACCUUCAGUAGCUUCAUCACCUCUCAUUAAGACCCUUUGCUCCUGUGCAUGAAGCUUGUUGGUUAACUCUGCAAUUGUGAGACUUUACAAGUCACAAGACUUUUCAAUUGCAGAGAUCUUGGCUUCAAACUUUUGAGGCACUGAAACCAUGAUCUUUUCUACCACAUUUUGAUUUGUAAAUGCCUCACCAAGAAGCUUCAUUUGGUUUACAACAUCCAUUAACCUGCUAGAAUAAUCUUUCACAGAUUCGUUGUUUUUCAUCUUCAUCAAUUCAAACUCUCUCUUCAAUGUGAGGAGCCUGAUAGUUUUGACUCUGUCACUGUCCUCAAAUUCACCUUGGAGCUUGUCCCAUACCUAUUUAGGUGUUUCCAAGUCCAUGGUUUUGGUGAAGAUGUGGUCUGCAAGUCCUGAAUGUAGGCAGGUGAUGGCUUUGUCUUUCUUGAGUUUUUCCUCCUCAUAUGCUUUCAUCUGAGCAAUUGUAGGAUUUGCUCCCAAUGGUGGUGGAUCAGCUUCAAACACCACAACAUUCCACAAACCUUGAGACCUUAAGUAAAACCUCAUCUUGACAGCCCAAAUGUGAUAAUGUUCACCAUUAAACACUGGAAUAACAAAGGAAGUACUACUGGAAGUAGACAUGUUUGCACCACAACUGCCUGAAAAAAAUAAAUCACUUAACCUCCCUGUGUUUAGCACUCAAAACACUCAAAGAAACUUUGCCUCACAACCUGUAGGAACAGGGCUUUGAUACCAUUGUCAGAAUCUAUAAAAAAAAACUAGAACUUGCAAAGAAAAAAUUAAUAAUUUGAGAGUUAAGAAUUGAAAGAAGGCACACACAUCUAUUUCACAAAUGAGAAUGCCUAUUUAUAGGCUUACAACCAAACGGAAAUUGCAAAAAAAUCUCAGCUACUUUCAGAUUUUAUUGGCACUACUUUUACUAAUUGAAAACAUAAAAUUAUGAAGCAAGAAUAUGAUAUGAAACAAUAACAAAGACCAAGUCUAACUAAGACUUUUUCAAACUUCAGAGGCAAACUCUCAUUAGUUCUAACAAUUGUUCUAUUAUUUUAAUAAACAUAGUGGAAAUCAUAUUUUAUUAAGCAAUAGAUGAGUUCUGGUAUGAUUUUAGUGUUGCUUUUAAUCUUCAAAUUUCCACAAAGAUCUGAUAAAGUUUGGAUAUGAUGGUCUAAUUGGGAACAAACAACCAAAGUAUUUAUUAGACUUGAAUUUACCACAUAUGCCGGUGUUCAUGGCUCAUUGAAUAGCUUGUUCAUGAAAACAGUUUCCUAUGGAAUAAGAUUAAGUUUGGCAAAUUUUAUUAUUACGAAUGGUGGUAACAAAUAGGUAGUUAUAUAUUAACUAGAGACAAUCUGUAGUUUCAUUUCUAAAAAUUAUUCAAUGUAAUUAGUUGACUAUUUAACUUACUAAUUAGAGUAAUUAACUUGUUCUCCCAUGGGCCAUGAAGUUGGUAGAUUUUGCCUCAAUUCUUACUUCUAAUUUAAUAUAAAAUAUUAUAAAAGGAAAGUUUAUUUAGUGAGUAAAGAUGAAAGAGAAACUAUAAAUUAAGCCCUACCGAUGACUUGGGUGGUCGAUGACUUGGGUGGUGGAUUAAUUGCCCAAAGUAAUUAAAUUCACAUAUUAUGUACUUAAGACUUUGACUCUCUCUCCUUGAACCUUUUUGAUAAAGUAUCAAUCAAUGGAAGUCAUUGCAUAGUGACAUUGAUAUAUAGAUGAUUUUUCAAAUAUGCAUAGGUGUAAUUUCUAAAAACAAAAAUAAAAAAUUUUGAAUACAUUCAAAGAAUUCAAGAGAAAAGUUGAAAGUGAAGUUAAAACCAUCAUCAUUGGUUGCAGCCAUUGCCCUUCAUUUCUAACUAUAACCUUUUUCCACCCUCUAAGCUUCUAGUAAUUUUAAUACAAGUGUGUGAUUUCAUUCUCCAUGUUUGCAACAACACGAGAUCAUGGGGUUUGAGUGAGGAGUGUCAAAGAAGGCAAAGAAGCAAAGUUGCUUGGGGAGCGUUUGGGGAGAAAAGAGUUCUUUUGAGAGUUACUUUUUAAGCAUUUUUUGAGUAGGUAAUUGAUAUUCUUGGGCCUUGUUUGUAGACAUUGUUAGUGUAUUUUUGGUGUGAUAUUUCUAUGGGCCUUUUUUAUGGGUUCAAACAUGUGAUACAUGGCUUAUAGUAUUUGAAUUCAUUUUUUUAUGGUUGUUUAUAAUCUUUAAAUUAUGGUUGCAUUUAUAAUAUUUAUGCAAACUACCCUAUGAUUUACCAUUUGAGCCUACAGAUAUUCUCAACACUUCUAGUACAAGAAAGUCAAAUGCACAUUAAUAUGACAUGUGAACAUGAUAUAUUAAAAAUUAAAAUGUGAAAUAUAAAGGAAUAUCUAUAAGCCAUUGCGACCUGAAUUGUGGUUGAAGAAAAGAUAAAAAUGGGCAUGUGAACAUAUAGUUGAAAGGAAAGAGUUUUCCUUUGAUAAAUGACCUAAAUUAAACCUUGACAAGCAAAGCUAUUAUAAUAAGAAGAGGUUAAUAAUACAUCCAAGAACCUUAGGGCCAAUUUUCAACAAUGUGACUCUCCCUCAAGCACCUUUGAUUUUUACUAAGCCAAAAGCAUAUGCUUAUUAAGUCCAACUUCCAUAUCCUUAAUUUUGUCCCUCCGCGGGUAUUAAAAUUUAAUUAUACCAAAUCAUUUCACGAGAUCCAUUUUUUUGUAUUUUACUUCUCCCUCUUAUGAUUUGUAGAUUGCUUAUUUAUCAGGAUAUCAUGUGAUCUGUCUCAUUUUACCUUUUUUUUUCAGUGCAUUGGACAUCAAGACUAGAUCAUCAUUUGAAUUCAAAUUUGGCAGCCUGCCCUGACACGAAAAGAUUUAUUUAUUAGAAAAAAUAUAUAUAAUGGAUUACAUUAUAGUUUUAUGAGAAGCAUCUGUUUUUUAAAUGACGGAUUGCCUCAACACUUGGAAUACUGGAGGGCACUUUCAAACAUAGUAAUCUUCCCCCAAGUCUAUAAAUAUCAUCCCUGGUUCACACAUCUCCCCCACCCCAAAACUAUCCCAACAAACCAGUCACUCCUCUUGCUCCUCCUUUGAUCCCCUCUCAAACUCUAGCAUCAUGGGUGUUAUCAGUUAUGAGCAUGAGAUCAUUUCUUCAAUCCCACCAGCCAAGAUUUUCAAGGCCUUUAUCCUUGACUCUGAUAACCUCAUUCCCAAGGUCCUUCCUCAAGCCAUAAAGUGCGUUGAAAUAAUUGAAGGAGAUGGAGGGCCUGGAUCCAUCAAGAAGAUUACUUUUGGAGAAGGUUAAUCUGAAUUAUAAUUUCUAGAGAUUGAAUCACUAACAUUCUAAAUUUUUUUGUCCUCAAUAUUCUGUUUUUAGCUUUUAAAAGCAGCAAAGGCACUUCAAAAUACUAACCAAACUUGUUGAUAUAUAUGCAGGGAGCCAAUUCAAUUAUGUGAAGCACAGGGUUGAUGGAAUAGACAAAGAGAACUUCACAUACAGUUACAGUGUGAUUGAGGGAGAUGCUUUGAUGGGCACCCUUGAAUCAAUUUCUUAUGAGGUCAAGUUGGUGGCUUCUCCCAGUGGAGGAUCCAUCUGCAAGAGCACUAGCAAGUACCAUACCAAAGGUGACUUUGAGAUCACAGAAGACCAAAUUAAGGCUGGCAAAGAGAAGGCUUUGGGCCUGUUCAAGGCUGUUGAAGCCUAUCUCUUGGCAAAUCCAGAUGCCUAUUAAGAAACUCCUUUGUCUCAUAUCAUCAGUUAAAGUUGUGGGUUGGGUUUCAUAUAUAUUUCUCCGACGUCCGGCUUGAAAUAAAAAGAGUUUCCUGUGUGUAAUCCUUGGACUUGUAAUAUUUAACUCCAAAGAAGGAAAGACGCAUGAUUUUAAUAAAUAUAAAGAAAUGAUCAUCUUGUUUUAUUAAGUUUGAUUAUAGUUUUUGUUGGAUUGUGAAACCUUAAUCAAUUUUGUUGCAUUUUGUUGGGAAUACCGGGAUCGAGUUGUCUGAUCAAGUUGCAAGGAUGGAGUUCCUCACUAAACUCAAAAUAUCAACAAAAAAAAAAAAAAAUGGGAUAAAAUCAAAUUUCAUAUUUUUCUUUAUUUAUCAUAAGAAGUACACAAAAAAACCGAUAUAUCUAGAAUUAUUAAAAUAUAUAUAUAUAUAUAUAUAUAUGUUUUUUUAUGAGAGAAGAAAAAAAAGAGAAAAAUAACUUUGUAUUUUCAUUUUUUUUCCUUUAUUUUUUUUCUUUUGUAAAGUUAUGCUCAAAUUUUCUAUGAUACUAACAGAACCUAUGAUUUUUCAUAUAACUUUCACUUUCUUGAAAAUGUUAUCAUUAUUAUGGUCUAAGAUUAAUAUCAUAUGGUUUCUGAUUUUAGAAACUUAAAAGUUAUUUUUUUUUUAUAUAGGCUUGAUUCUAGAAACUUAAAUAUAGAGAAGAAAAUGAUUCAUUUCUUAUAUACUAUUACGCCUAUGAACUUAACUAGUAAUAAGAUAACUUUCCCCAAUUAAUUAAGAGCAAUACUUAGUAAAUUAUUUUAAUUCCAAUUAAUAAAAACUCAAUUGCUCUCAUAAAAUUAAAGGUUUAUGAGACAAUGAAAAAACAAAUAAAAUUUUAAAAAUGUCCUCAAAUGAUAUAAGAGGUCCAAUAUUUUUAUUAAAAUGUAUUUAUAGAGAAUUAAUUAUAUUUAAAUAUAAUAAAAAAAAAGGUUUAAAAUAUUUUUAGUUUAAAAGUAAUUUUGAAAUUUUAUCAAACACCUAAUUUGAACAUAACAAAGACAUCAAAUAAUAAAAAAAUUAUUUAAUUAUUAAUCUUGACGCUAAUGAUUGAAAUAAGUAGCUUAGAAAAAAUUCUUAACAUCCUCUUCCUUCACCACUAAGGUCACCAUAAUUAGUAAAAAAAGUUAAAUAUAAAAGGUCACUUUCCACUGAUAUGUUAUUGUUUACUGAGUCAAAAACUUCUCCCUUACAAGUAGAUUUAAACUCAAAGAUUCAUGGUUUUUGCCCCUUGUUCUAAGUCAAGUCCUCACUAUUUCAUUCAAAAUUGAGAAAGAUCCAUAGUUUUGUCACUGGUUCCGUAAUUUUUCUCACUCUUAACUUUGAUCCAAUUUUUUGUUUUCCAUUUACACUUCCUGUGUCAUCUUUAAGAUCACUCAAUCUCUAUUCCCUUUGGCUGGUGCUUUGAAUAUCAGGGUCAAGAGUCUAUACCCGACCCAAUUUGUAAAACCUGGUCCCACUCAAAAAUAAAACAAAAUUAAGGUUUUUUAUUGAGAAUAAUAAUGGACUCAUUGGAGUUUUCUUUAAGGCAUCUGCUGAGAAAAAAAGGAUAUACCACCCCCUACAUCAAACAUGUGAAGCUUGAACUCAAUCUAUAAAUACCACCCCCUACUUCUCACUUCUCUUCACCCCAAACCCACUCUUUACGUACCAAUCAAUCCUCGUCCUCCUCCUUUGUUCAUUAAUUCAGACACUCUAGCAUCAUGGGUGCUAUCACUUAUGAAAUGGAGGUCACCUCUUCAAUCCCUCCGGCCAAGAUGUUCAAGGCUUUUGUCCUUGAUGUUGAUAACCUCAUCCCUAAGGUCCUUCCACAAGCCAUUAAGUGCGUCGAAAUAAUUGAAGGAGAUGGAGGGCCAGGAACGAUCAAGAAGAUUAAUUUCGGUGAAGGUUAGCAUGCGUUACUACUAUUUUAUUAGUACCUUUUUUUUUUUUGUAUUUUUAUGUUUAUGCUUUUAAAAACAAUAGAAGUACUUAUUUAUAUGAUUUGUUAUAUAUGUUAGCAAAUAGGGUAAGCAGUGCUUUUUUUUUUUCCUUAACUCGUUGGUAUGCUGCAGGCAGCCAAUUCAACUACGUGAAGCACUGGAUCGAUUCAUUGGACAAAGAGAAUUUCACAUACUGUUACACCAUAAUUGAAGGAGAUGCUUUGAUGGACAACCUUGAGUCAAUCUAUUAUGAGGUGAAGCUGGUGGCCUCUCCUGAUGGAGGAUCCAUCUGCAAGAACAUCAGCAAGUACCAUACCAAAGGCGACAUCCAGAUCACAGAAGAUCAAAUCAAGGCUGGCAAAGAGAAGGCUAUGGGCAUGUUCAAGGCCAUUGAAGCCUAUCUCUUGGCCAAUCCUGAUGCCUAUUAAGUAAAAUUGACCGUAUUGAGAUUAUCUUUAAUUUGUGUCAUUCCUUCAUAUACAUCAGUUAAAAGGCUUGGCUUUGAUAUAAAUCCUACCUUGUGGCUAAAACCCUCCGGCUUGGUAAUAAGAGUUUUGUGGGUGUGUGAUUAUUGAACUUGGCUUGUAAUAUUUGAUUGGAAUGAAGAGCAUUGGUUGUUGUAUGGAUCUAAUAAAUACAAUGAAGAUCAACUUUUCAUUAAACCAGUAACUGGGCAUGAUUCAGGAAGAUGACCAAAAUAUUUAUUCAUACUUGAAUUUGGCUUCAAACCCAAUAAGGAAAAUAUCUAUAUAUAUAUAUAUAUAUUAAAAUUUAUUCUUAAUUAAUUGAUUAUGUGAUUAAUUAAAAUUAUGUAUUUGCUUAGUCUAUUGGACUUUUUCUGCAACUAGUUCCAAAUUAAAAUAUAAAUCUGAACAGCCAAAAGGGUGGAUAGAAUUUUUGGCAGUCUUGCUUUGUAAUAUAGAGGAAAGAACCGAGGGAGAAUUUACUCAUCCAGAGUCAACCAGUGAAGAAAAGCACAAGCGACUACACUUCUUUGAAGGUCUCUUGAUAUGAAGUGUGAACAACUUGAAAGGUGGAUCCUUCAUUAGUUUCACUAAUAUCUUUUACUGCAUAAUACAAGUUACUUGAACAUAUAAAAAUCAUCAAAUAAAUUCAAUAAUUAUUAAAAACAUAGAAUGUAAUUAUUCCACUUUAAACAAUAGAAAUAUGAAAAGAGUGAACUUGUCAUGCGAUUGGGAAGGAUAUCAAAGACUGGUUGAAGGAUUUAUUGAUGAUUGAAGUUGUAAUGGUCACUCCCUUUUAUAUAGGUAUUACCUAUUUUGAAAUAAGGUUCCCAUAAUUUUAAAACGAUAUAUAAUGAUGGAAUGUCUUCUCCUUAACCAAUGUAGAUUAUCAUAAUCACCUUAAUACAGAUAGGACCUUUACAUCAUGUCCCAUGGAAUUGUAAAGAUCAGUCAUUAUAUUUACCUUAGAUUUAAGGAUUAGUUCUGACACUAUUUUGUAACAACCUGUUCCCCAACUUGGUAUGAAAAUCAACGUGUUUUUGACUAACUGUAAUAUCUCACAUCCACUAAGAAAAGAGAUUCCUAAACCUAUAAAUCUGGAGGGUUAUCUUGAUUUUGGAGAUAUGUGUUUUAAGUAUAUCAUUAUCACUUGUAAAUUUUAAGAAGCACGGAGAGGUCUCUGACAUUGCCAAAAAUCUCUGCUGGCAGUUUUGAAUAUACACCACAUACAUUAACUGUUGACUUUGUGUUUCAGAUGGAGCUUAUCCUUUGAUAAGGACUUACAUAUUUAAUAUACUAGAUCUAUAAUAAUUAGAAUGCAAUAACAUAUAUUGAAGGCCCCCUUGUGGGCUUCUAUCCUUGUUAAUAUAAGGUGAAGACUUUGUGUUACAAACUGGGCAUGGGUAAAUAUCUUCGAUCUGUCCUUCUUAGCUAGACCUUAAAUGCAAUAGGCCCUAUCAUAUAUAUAUAUAUAUACACCCAGAAAUGAAGAUGCGCCCAUUGGUGUUGGGUCAGUUUGUGUCUAUCCCAGUUUGGAGAAUAUUUCUGUUGGGUGAAAUGGGUGGCCACCCCAAAUGACUAGCUUCGAAAAUAUCUCCUUGACUGAAUCUCCAGAUCUCAAAGAGACAUCCGCAGGAGUGAAGGUGGAAGUAGAAAAUGAAAGAUUUAAGGCAACAGAAGGGCAUGGACCUUGUUAGAAAAUUAAAUUCUACCACAUACUUCGGCUAUUUACGAGAGCAGUUCCUUUGUUUGUAAUCUUCCUAAAAAAAUUGAAUUGAGAUGCAGCCAUUCCACAAGAAGCUAGUAACAAAGAACAAUUUAUCUUAAUACAUUGAUCAUUAUGAUGAUGACCCCCAUAGCAUUAUUUUUCUUUCUUUCCUUUUUUUUUUUUUUUUUUUUUUUUUUUUUUUUUUUGGUGGUACACAUAGAAGACCAAUCUUCCAUUAUUUAAUUUGUUGGUUGGAAGCAGUAUAGAUCUCCAACGACCUCAAUUAAAAUCAGCUACAAAAGUGACAUUGAAGAUAGAGGUGUAAGCCUCUUGAAUAUGUCACACUAUGCAUCAUCUUCUGGCAUUUUUGUUGGUGUCUCUUGCCUUCUGAUAUUCUUACUUUUAACUUAAUUACGACUUAGAUUAAUAUACUUUUGUUGGUUCUCUUCGAAUUAAGGCACCCUUAAAUAUCCCAUGAAAUUUAAUCUACAGGUAAGGUUGAGAAUAUUCUGAGCAUAUUUGGAACUAAAUGUCUUGUAUUCUUCUUUCUAAACCAUUCUCAGGAUACUAUGCUUUCUCUGGCAAGUAAAAACAAUGGAAAUCAUUUGCAUUUUCUGGCUCAGUUUCAAUUCAAAGAUCAGAUAAAAAUAUUUUGGUAGUUCAAUUUUUUGUGCUUUAUCAGUCAAAGGACAAACUGUACCUAAAUUCCCAGUCAUGACUUGCAGUAACUGAGACAUAGGUCCUUAGAACUGAUCCACCAUACUGAUAUGCACCUAAAAAUGAUGGCUUUCUAUAAGGUAUUUCAUGGUAAUUAAUGCAGAGCAUUUACGCAUCCAUUUCUCAAUCUACAAAUACCACCUCUAGUAGUCUUCACCAUCUCACUCACUCCAAAGUUUUCCAAUUUCAAUUGAUCCACCUCCUUGGUUCUCCCUCUGAUCACUUCCAAGACCAUAAGGAGAACAUGGGUGUUGUCACUUACACUGAUGAGCUCACUAGUCCUGUCCCUGCACCACGACUCUUCAAGGCCCUGAUCCUUGAGGCUGACUCCCUUUUGCCCAAGAUCGUCCCUCAGGCCAUUAAAAGUAUCGAAACAGUGGAAGGAAAUGGAGGCCCUGGAACCAUCAAGCAGCUGAACUUUGCUGAAGGCUAGCUACUUUACAUAAAUUUUCACUAGCAUAUGGUCUUAAUUUACUCACAUAUAUAAAAUUGUACUAACCAAAGAUGUUUGAAUUUUUGCUCUCUAUGCAGGUAGCCAAUUCAAAUAUGUGAAGCAUAGGAUUGAUGAACUAGACAAAGAGAAGAUGAUCUACAAGUAUACUUUGAUUGAAGGUGAUGCUUUGAUGGACAAGAUUGAAUAUAUAAGUUACGAGAUUUCAUUUGAGGCCAGUCCUGAUGGGGGAUGCAAGAGCAAGAAUGUGAGCGUGUAUCAUUCCAAACCCGGUGUGGAGAUCAAAGAAGAGGAAAUCAAGGAUGGCAAAGAAAAGGCAGCAGCUGUCUUCAAGGCUGUGGAAGCCUACCUCUUAGCUAAUCCUGAUGCCUGAGCCUAAUGCAUCCUGUUGAGAGUUUCGAACCUGUAUUGCUUCUCCUCCACUUAAUCACUUGUUGCUUGCUGCCUUUUUGUUUUCCUUCCACCAAAUCUGCCACUCUGGCCUGAUAAAUAAAAGCUCUAUCAACCUGAUAUUCAAAUUUGAUUUGCUCCAUAUUGAUAAUUUUGAUCUACUAUUCUUUCUUGUUGGACUGAACUCUAGAAAGUUUUAAUUAGAAAGUUCGAAUUUAAUUAAAACUGCUAAGAAUGUGUACCUUUCUUUCACAGCUUUAACAUAUCAGAGAAGAAUCUAAAGUAUGACUCGUGAAUCUAACUUUGCCUUACUGUUCCAAGACAUAAUUAGGAUAGUGAUGAAUUGUCAAGCCCUUUAGCUUCUAAAGUAGUAUAGAAAACUUGAGCAUUUUCUCUAUUCCACCACUUGGCUGAGAUUAUCAUACACUUCCUGAGUCCUCAUAAUACUAAUGACCAGAUGGAAUUAAUCCCUUCAUAUAUAUGUAGAUCUGUGCUGUAUCUAUUUUACAACAUGAAUCAAUCCAGAAGAACACGUCACAUUCCUGAAAAUCCAGACCUCAUAGAGCAGGAUUGAUUCAAUUGAUUAGAGGACUGCUAUUAUGUCUUAACGGAAGCCAUUACCAGCUAGAGAACUGGUUACCUCACCAAAAACAUUAAGCCUGUGAUGGCCACCAGAUACUCUGUCCCGUAGGAAACAUACUCCAAACUAUGGCCAUGUUUUCUACUAAUCUAGUGAAACUUUUUUUCUUUUUUUGAGAAAAGAAAUCAACUAGAAAAGACAAAAUCUGUGCACUGAUUUGAUGAUGGUGACUUUUGACAUAAUUCGGGCCACUAUUCCCAACUGUUUCCUCAGGGCCAUGAACUGAUAAAUUGUGGAUUCACAUGCCUGUUUAAUUGCAACACCAAACACAUCCCAAUUGUAUUAAUCACAAGGGUCCACAUCCUUUUCCAUUAAUAUUCCAGGGAAUACAUAGACCAUUCAAGCCUGUGAGCUAUGUGAGCCCUACAGUGUGAACUUCCCUAUUUUGCCUAUUUUCUCAAGAACAGGAUGCUUCAUUGUAAUUUAUGGAUUAUGGUGCUAAGCAAGUCCAUAAUACUAGAAGAUAACAUGGGACUUGAGGAAUCUAUGCUUCAUAAUGAUUACAAAGGAAAUCCAUUAAUUCUAUUACUGUAAAAAAGUUCAGCUUGUCUCUGGGUUCAUCUAUUAGUUAUAUUUUCAGCCUAAAAAAUGGACAUGACCUGUUCUUUAAUGUUUCUUUAGGCUCUCUCAUUGCUGUCCUGAAUGAAAUUGAUUUUCUAGGUAUUCUUCAAAUUACAGUUAUCACAAAAGGGAGGAUAAAAGGAAUGGAAGAAAAUCACAAGGAAGAUAAAGCAAAACUUCUUCAGGAAGGCUUGUGGCAUAGACUGCCUAGAAGCAAAGAAAAUUAUCCAUAAAAUCUGUGAGACUUGAGUCUAUCUCUAUGCCGGUCUUCUUGGCUCAAAUCCUAUUUAGUAUCUCCAAAUUUUCAAACUUGUUGUGACAUAUUAGCAACCAUUCAAAUCUCCUAUCUAAUAAAAUAAAACAAAGAACACAAGUCUAGAUUAAUGUAUCUUGAAUGUCAACAAAUGUCACAUUCAUUCUCUUAAGAUAUGGAAAUAUCAUUUUAAGAUCAAUUUUACCACCCACUGUUGCUUACUAUUGACCCCUUAAACCACAACUAUUCAUUCUAGAAAUCCCCGCAUGGCCCACAAAAAAAAAUAAUAAUCACUUCAUUUUGAUUUUUCUCCACUUCUAAUAAAUAAAAUUCUUCUAAGGGAUAAUUACAUGGUCCCAACUCCCAGGUUUACAAGCUCUUACAACUCUAUGAUGCCUAUUCAAAUGGGCUUGUUUUCUUUUGAAAGGACAUAUGCCCCACAAAGUGGGUUAGGCCUUAUUUUUGAAAGCUUGGAAGGAUAGGUCUGGGCCUGGUUAUCUCAUGUUACCCCUGCCCAAACCCAAACAACGACCACAGGUCAUAUGCCAUGGCAAUAUUGCACCUAUUACGUGAUGUUUCAAGGUAAUUCAUGCCCAACAAUAAUUUUCCUUUCUAAUAAUUAUUGCUACUUUUCAAAGUCGGACCACCACAAGUCAUAUGCAUUGGCAACGCACCCAUUGUAGGAGGUUCUUCUAAAGCAAUGAAGGCCCACAAAUUGUUUUUGGGGAAAAAGAAUUAUCCCUCUAUUUUUCCCUUUUUCUAAUAAAGUUAGUCCUAAAAGUCAAAUUUUCAAACAUUUUUCAAACAAAACAUAAUGUAUAAAGUUUUGUUUGAGACCAACGGAGUUGGUUGAAGAUAUUUGUUAUUUUCCUUUCUGCACAUUCUUCUCCUUAUUUCCUUUUUCUUUUUUUUUUUAUUCCCUUAAAGUAUGAAAGUUUCAUGUCUCCAUAGAUCACUGAGAUGACUUUUAUAUGGAGAUUUCUCCUUGGCAUGUUGAACAGGUCAGAAAUGAAAAAGAUGAGGCCAACAUUAUAAUAUUGCAACGGCAUCGAACUUUGAAUCAUGGAUUAGCAAUAUUUAACCCAAGCCACCCUAAUCUCAAGUUGCUAACUAGUAAAAAAAACACAUAAGAGUCUUCAUCUUCACCUCUCAAAAGAAAUCUAUCCCCACCCAUUGAGCUACAACUCUUCCAUCUCCUUCUCCCAAUCCUCUCCAUACCAUUCCUCUCAAUCAACUCUGUAAAAGAACAUGGGUGUCACAAGACUCAGUCAAAAGUACGCGACUCAUGUCACUCCAGGCAGGAUGUUCAAGGCCUUGAUCCUAGACUCCCACAACCUCUGCCCCAAGCUCAUGUUUUCAUCCAUUAAGAGCAUUGAAUUUCUUGAAGGGGAAGGAGAAGUUGGGAGCAUCAAACAGAUCAACUUCACUGAAGGUCAGCAAAAGUACUAGAUACUAAUUUUCCAGCAUAUACUCAGUGCCUUUGAAUUAGAUAAUUCAGUGAUAACAUAGCUAACAAACAUGUUUGAUUGUGAUGGAAUAUGCAGCUAGUCCUUUAACAUACAUGAAGCAUCGGAUCGAUGCACUAGACAAAGAGAAACUCACAUGCACAUACACUAUGUUUGAGACUGAUGCCCUGAUAAUGGACAAGAUUGAAUAUAUUACUUAUGAUGUGAAGUUCGAGCCAUAUGGUUUUGGGGGGUGUGUUUGUAAUCUGACAAGCGUCUACAAAACAAAAGGGGAUGUAGAGAUCAGAGAAGAGGACAUAGAGCAUGGCAAGGACAGAGCAAUUGGGAUGUAUGAAGUGUUGGAAGCCUAUCUCAUGGCACACCCUCGCGCCUAUACUUGAAAAAAACCUCUCUGAUUAUUUUGAGAAUUGUAUGUUUUUUUUCCUAAUAUGUUUAGCUACCUUUUUUUUUUUUCUUUUUUUCUUUUUUCUUUUUUUUUCUUUUUUUGGUUCUUGUCUUGAAAAAUGCAAAAUACAAUCAGUAUGUGAAUUUUGCCAAGUUAUGGGUUAUGUUGUCUCUGGGCUCUGGUUUUGUGGCUCUGCAAAUGACAAAUUCAUGGCAGGCAGAAAAGUCUUAGCAGCAGAUCUAGCAGUGUUUUCAUUUUUAUCUAAUGAUCUUUUUGCUUGUUAUGAACUUUUUCAUUGGAGUUCAAUCCAUAAGCAUCCUAUCAAUGCCAAAUAUGAGAAUUGAUCGGAGAAAUCAAAUGGGAGAUGAAUAAUAAAAUUUCCAGAAAGAAAGAUAAAGAGCUGAUAGAUAAGUAAAACUGCCAUUGAUGUGAUCAAUCUUCAUAUCUAAACAUAUAUAAAUGCACAUUAUCCAGGUUGAUAUUGAGUUCCCAUGUUAUGUUGAUCUAUGGUCUCAAUCAACUGAAUCUCUCUCAGGUUUUUGUCUGUUUCCUCUUUAAUGGUUUGAUUGUGGUACAGAGAGAGUAGGAUUCUUUCCAAGUCAAUUGAACCUCAAGGCACCCUUCUAUGAUAUGGUACUAUGAUCUCCCUCUGGUUCAUUAAACCACAAAAUAAAAACAAGGGUUUUAUCACAGUGGUGACGAUGAGAGAAUUGACUCCUCUAAUGGGGAAAAGAAGAAGAAUGAUAUAAGGGGUUUGUUUGGUCACAGUGGAAAUUAGUUCGAUGUUCUUCAUGGUGAUGGAUCUCAUCUCCUGCGUUGAUUUCUUUUGUUGGGAUUCCAUCUUGAUUUUCCAUCAUUCACCAUGUACCAAAGGCUUGAACAUCUUUAGCAGGAGCAGCCAGAGUCAUGAACUUUUUGGGUAAAGUAAAGCAGGUAACACCCAUCAUUGCUUUCAGAGCAAGAUUAUGAUCUCUUAGAAAUAAAAUUGAAGUAUAGAUUGGUUUGGUGUGAAGGGUCUUGGAUUCUGUAGGGGAAAAGGAAGAAUGAUAAAACAACUUAUAGGCCAAUUUUUGUGGUAGUUCUAAUUAUCAAAUUGGCCAUUUUUGACUCAACCUCAGCUGCCACCCAACCUAACUUAUCCAAAAUCUAUCUUGUUCAAAGUUCUUGUCUGAAAGGUCUAAACCCUUUUUGCUUUCUCUCCUUUGGCUGGACCCAAACUUCAUCUGGGUCACACGACCCCAGCCAAUUCUGAAAGUUCCUCCUUGUUGAGGUAGUUCAAACCCACCCAGAAGCAUAAGAUAUGCUUUUGUGAUUCCACACUUGAUCUAAACCUGAUAUCAAGAAAGAAAUCUACAAUUCUAUUGAAAGGAUAUGCGUAUACAUCUGACUAGAACUUUUGCCCAUACUGGGACCAUGUAAAGGUGGCUCUUGCCAUCGCAGACAUGGGGUGGGUACCUUGGUUCCUCAGGUCAAGCCGCCCAUGUGGCAUAUGCAUAAGUGCGUGUUUAGUCAAAACUCGGAGAGGCAGAAGGUUGAAUCUCCAAUUAAUUCCUCUUUUGUGAAUUCAUGCCAAACACAUACCACCUAAAACCCAAUCUAUAAGUACUGCAAACUGGUGAAGAUCCCCACAAUUUUCAAAGACCAUUGCUUUCAUAUUCUCCCAAAACAUGGGUGUCACCAGUUUCACACAAGAAUUCACAUGCCCAAUUGCCCCCUCUCGCAUCUUCAAGGCCCUGAUCCUAGACUCCAACAACCUGAUCCCAAAGCUCUUGCCCCAGACCAUAAGAAGCAUCGAUGUUGUCCAAGGAGAUGGAGGAGCUGGAACCAUUGAACAAGUGAACUUCACCGAAGGUCAGUAAUCUUAAAUCAAAAGAAUAGAUAUUAUAUGUUUUAAGCUCAAUAGUUAAAAGCAGUUUGUAUAUACAUAACAUUAGGAACUUUUUCCCCAAAUAGGCAUACACUCUUUGCGAGGCUAAACAAGCUCUAAUACUAUUUGUAACAACCUCGUCUCAACCCCAUGUGUAGGUAUUAUUCGCUCUAAGUCCAAUAAACCCACAUGGCUUUUAAAACUUCCAUAGGGAUUGAGAAUUACUUUGAAACAAUUUAUAACAAUCCACUCUCAACCGUGUAUAGGUAUUAUUUAUGAGCCCACACAAAUUUAAAAUGCUUUUAAAUAAUUAAAAGCAACUCAUACAUGUAUUGCAAUAGAAACUUUUUUCCCUAUCCCAUGUGAAAUAUUACAGCAAGAGCCUGAAAUAUGUUUCUUUUGGCUUGUCAUGCAGCUAGCAAUCUCAAAUACGUGAAGCACCAAAUCGAAGAAUUGGACAAAGAGAAUUUUGUGUGCAAGUAUCGUAUGAUUGAGGGAGAUGUAUUGGGUGAGGAGCUUGAAUCAAUUGCUCAUGAGGUGAAGUUUGAGGCAGCAGAUGGAGGUAGCAUUUGUAAGAUGGCAAGCGAGUAUCACACCAAGGGAAAGUUUGAGAUUAAGGAAGAAGAGAUAAAAGCUGGUAAGGCUAGAGCUAUGGGGAUAUACAAAGUUGUGGAAGCCUAUCUAUUGGAGAAUCCCCAUGUCUAUGCUUAGUUUCUAUCUUCCUCUAUAUACAUAUUCACACAUAUUUGAUUGUCACUUCUCUGUUGUCCAAUGUUUUCUCUAUUAUAUACUUUAUACUGGUGUUUUGUAUUCUUCAUUACAUGUACCCUUAAUUUUUUUCUUUUUUUCCUUGGCCAAAAUUGCCUCUAAAUUUCCCUAUUGUAAUGUUAUUGACAAAUGGAAAAACUAAGAAAUACGAAUUUUUCUAUUUGAAUUGUUGGAAUGGCAACACCCAUAUAAGUUGAGGGUAAUCUUUUCGUAGUUGCAUGAUGAUUGAAAAAUAUUCAAUAAUUAGUUCAUUAAAUAUUGCAUGUUAAUGAAAUGAUUAGUUUGAAAAUUAAGGGGGAUAUGUUAUUAUGAGUUUGGUGAUGUUAGGUGAAAUUCUAGAGAACAUAAAAGCAUCUUAAUUCAUGUGAUGAAAAAAUUGCAAUUGGUAUGCUAUUGGAGAGGUUUGGGAUCAAAAUGAAAAUAUGAAUCUCUAUCUUAAGCCUUAGGGGUGCUUUUCGAAACCUAAAAGUAGUAAAGGCAAAACAAUGUUUAGAUAUACCUAUGAAAUUUCUAUUUGAAGCCUUAUUUGGAGAACUUCUUGAAGCCUAAAAGUAGCAAAGGUAAAACAAGGGUUAGAUAUUACUAUCAAGUCUCAACUAUGAUUUUCAUACUUUUCAACGUGAUCUAUGAAGUAAAAGAAUUCAAGCUUUUACUCGUAGAGUGGUGUCAAAAGCAUACUAUUAUUUGUCUUUAAUAUCAAGUCCAACAAAUUGGUAUUAAAAAUCUUAUUAAUGAUUGUCUCCUUUGUUUUUAUAGUGUCUAGAUUGAAAUUCAAGCAUAUGGUUUGAUUUAACGUUUAAAGAGGUUUGUUUGGAUUUAGAUUAGAGAUGAAUAAAAUGGAUGAUAGUGGAUUCAACUUCGGGAUGGUUUUAUAUGAAAAAAUUAUAUAGAACAAUGAAUAUUUUAUAAAAGCAAAAUUAGUUAGGAAAAAAGAAUUAUUCUCUUAUCUACUUUUUUUCUCUUUCAAUGUUGAAAGAAUCCUCAUUUUCUAAGUACACACUACAAUACAAUCACUUCUUUUAUAUAUCUAUUACAGUUGUCAACAUAUGGAUGUAACAUCUUUCGAUAAAAACCUUUCAAAAAAUAAGAGAAAUUCAUUUGAUAUAUUAAAGAAAAUUCAUUUUGAAAUCUCUUCUUAUAAACCUUUUUAUGAAAACCAUUACUUUCCUAGCUUGUGGAAGAAGAAGAGCUUUAAUAUAAUUCACAUAUAUCCUAACGCUCUCUAAUGAUUAGAAGAGUUUUAUACACUUCACUACCAUCAAAGGAGACUACAAAUUCAGUUAGAAAAUAAAUGCCCUUUAGGAAGAACUUGUUACAUGUGCAAAAAUGUUGCUCUAUGGGAAAUGAUGGUUCAAACGCCGAACCAAUACGGGGCUAAAAAAAAUGAACUCAAACAAUUGUUAAGAGUACACUAAUAUCAAUAGGUGUAUAUAAAUUUUGGCUAUAAGCCUGAAGAAGAUAAAAAUCAGGAGACUAAUGUUAUAAAACGAUGACUCAUGAUACUCAAGGCAUGAGGAUGAAUAUGAUAUUAAAUCUUAUAAAAUGGUAUAGUGAGAUGUUGGUAAUGGCUAGUUUGCUUUCGGUGCCUAGUCAUAGGUAUGGCUUAUAUAAAAGAUUUGAGUUUAAGGUUUAGGAUUUCCAAGGAAAAGAUUAUGGAGGUACUCCUUCAAGAUUGUUAUACGUGCAAUAUAGUGGAAUAGCCACACUCGAAAUGGUCAUGACUGAUGUGAUGUUGAAGUACCAUAAAAGAGUACUAGCCGCACUCUCACCCACAGCAACUAAUUUGCUGAUGGGAUUACUAAUGCCCGAGCCUCAACAGAACUGAAAAAUGAGGCCCAAUGAGACCCUUCAAAUCCAAAUCACAAUGCUACAAUUCCAUAAGAGCUCCACCCAUUUGUCCACUCCAUCAGAAAGCAUGAGUAUUGUUGGUCUUCAUCCAGGAUUCCAGAUUUAACGAACCCAUCUUCCCUCUUUAAGAAUCCUGCAGAAGAGGCCCUUCGUUGAGCGAAUAGGUAAUGAAUAUGGACUGGCCUGCCAUGCAGCAAUGUGAUAUAUCCGCAAUGGGCAUCAGCAACAAUGAUUGGGAGAGAAUUGGGAUGAGCGUUCUUUCCUUUUCACUUUUUUGCAGUCGGCUGCCUUUUACCACCAUAACCAAGUGCGACAGAUAAUUUGGGGAAUGCAUAGCCAGACCGUAUAUUCCCCCAAGAAGACGACCUGGAAAAUACAAGGCAGCGAGUCAAUGUCCUACACUUGAAAACAAGAGUAGGUUUCACUUUCCAUAAAGCACAGUAGCUGUAGGCACUAUAAAUUGCCUGCUUCAAUCAUAGAAAAAAAAAGUUCAUGUAGUGUAAAUCUAUGUUUAUCUACACACUGAAGUCAACCCAUUGAAUUGAUAGAUGGCUAAAUUUCGUAGAGGCAUAUUUGGGUAUGUUCCCAUCUACAUCACCCCCCUUUCUCUUGUGGGCCAACCAGAGGGGCGGUACCAAAUGAAGAAAAUCAAAAUGACCUCAUUCAUAUCAAUUUUCCAACUUCAAUAAGCACAUUUUGAAAAAACAAAAAAAAAAAAAAAAAAACAAAAUCAUGUUUUUCAAGAAUUUGUUCUAUAAUGUUAUUGUGCUUUCAUUUAUUCCUUGUAGAAUUUUUAGAGAAAAAUUAAAAAUAUAAAAAAUAUUUAAAAAAACAUUCUCUUUAUACAAGAAUAUACAAUGCCUUUAUAGAGAAAAACCUGGAUAAACUGUUUUUCAUAUUUAUAUUUUUAUAUGGAAUUUUAUUUUUUAAAAUAAGUAAAAAUUGUUUUCAAAAAUUAUUUUUUUUAAGAACUGUUUUCAAGCAAAUCCUAUUAAAUUUUCAAAAAGAGUGAAACAUCAAAACUAAAGUUCCAGAGAGUCCUCAUGUUCACACCCUCAGUGGUGACAUCAUGGCUUUUCAUAAAGAUCAUUCAAAGCUAUAAGGUGAAUACCACCUCAAAAUAAAGCAUCAUGGUUUUUUUCUACAAAAUUGCCGUUAAUUUUUCUUGAAUCCCACAAGCCUAAAUCUCAAAAUUUGCCAAACAUAUAAGGCUACUGGCUUCCUUGCCUACUAGAGAAAGCAUGCCAAACACCGUCCACUGUUCACAAUAGCAUCAAGAACAAGAACCAAGCCAACUAGGACCACACCGUAACAAAAAGUUUAGUCUGAAAACAGUCUAGUCUUACUUAGGAGAUGGACACUAUAUUUAGAAAUUUUUAAGACGGGCAGAGAUGGAACCUCUCUGGAUCUCAGGAUGGAAUCUUGACUCGUUGAGCCAAUAACAUCAGAACCCAACCUAAUAAAGGUUAAACAAUUGAGCACAUAGUCCAGCAAAAACUGGGCUAAAAAUGAAGAUUCGUUACUUGUGAAUUAUGCAACCUGAUUCCAUGUAAUUGUGCUUAGUGAUUCAAUCCGAAGCAGAGUAAAGAAGAGCUGAAUCCGAGUCAUAGGACCACUUCCUGCAAAGAGGCCAAUAGCAAACCAAACUAAUCAAACCAUAACAAAACUUGGGUAGAUGUCUAAAUCACAAUCUAAUCAACACCCAACUCAUCAGUAAGACUAACAAAAAGUUCAAGCACCACCCAAUGUCAGUGGGAGAAUCUGGUCUCCGUCAACCUUUUAUGGCAAAGCUGAAAGAAAGGUUUGUGGGAUGCAACUCAGUAUAAGAAAAAUAAACUACAAUUUUGACACUAUAAGGUGUUUCUUGUAACAAAAGGAUUCCUCAAGAGUGGAUAUCCUUCAUUGAAAAAGCUACUUUAGAUUUUUUUUUGACAUAUAUAUGAAUGAUCUAUCCAUCAUCUGCUCUCACUUUAAUUCUUUUAUUUCUUUCUUGGCCGGGCUUUGGAUAUCCAAACUGCGCAAACGUCCCUCAAUUAUAGAUGGCCAUCCAUCUUAAAGCAAAUUCCCUUUGGCUCAACAUUCAAAGGUCCAUACAAAACACCGCCCUCUUUCUCGAAGCCAUACCCUCCUCCCUCUCUUUAAGAUUUGAAAGUGACUUCUGAAAGCCAAGCAAGGGCAAAAUUCACUCUCUGAGGGAAAAGCAAAAAAAGAUUCCUUGCAUGUCCCAGGCCUUUUGCCCUUCAAAUAUUCCCUCCUCAUAUACAAAUAAAUGCCACCUAUUGAUUCUUCAUUCACUCUCCACCCUCUCCAUUCCAUAGAAAACACAACCCUUUGUUUUUUCUUCAUUUUCCUGCCUUUCCCUAACUCAUGAUCCCAGAACUGGAGGUAUGUGCCAAAUCCACAGUAGGAACAUAUUGAUACAGAACAACUAGUGCCUACAUCGUAGUUCUAGCGUUCUUCUUUGCAGAUAUCUUGCAAGACAUUUUCCUAACCUGUCAGUUUUCUUGUUAAAAAAAAUGCAGAAGCCUCGGGUCACUGAGAUACAGGUCCGGAUGGACUGUAAUGGGUGCGUACAGAAGAUCAAGAAAGCCCUAUACGGCAUCAAUGGUGAGUGAUUUAUUGCUAAUGGGUACCUCAAUAGUGGUCUUUCUAUUUUGUCCCUUUACUCCUAUGUUUUGGUGUAGGUGACCUAAUUUUUGAGUUCUCCAACAGGUAUAUAUGAUCUCUAUAUUGACUUCCCCCAACAAAAAUUGACAAUAAUUGGGUGGGCGGAUCCUGAAAAAAUAAUGAAAGCCAUUAAGAAGACGAGAAAGAUUGCCACCAUCUGUAGUCAUACAGAACCGACAGACCCAGCCACAAAGCCACCGGAACAAGCACCUGAAGGCGGCGGCCCACCCCCAGCAGAAGCUGCAAACCCUCCCCCUGCAGAAGCUCCACAAGCCGAGGCUGCCCCACCAGCGGAGCCACCAAAAGACCCACCACCACCUGAAAAUCCUCCGCCAGAGGCAACACCAGCACCUGCAGCUGCAGAUGUUAAUGCAGGUAACCCAGCACGACCUAAAGAUGUGGAAGAGGUUCACGUAAUAUACCACCACCCACCUGAGUAUGGCUACAGAUAUGGGUAUGGUCACCGGUAUGGAGGGCACUGGAACAACUACUCCAAUGUCCAAGGAUUGCAACAAGAGCCACCCCCAACCGUCUACACCAAUGUCCAAGGAGUCCAUCACGAGCCACCCCCGACAAUGUACACCAAUGUCCAAGGACUCCAUCAUGAGCCACCCCCACCUGUCUAUGUGACUCAUAGGUACAACACAUACAAGCCACCACCUUACAUCACUGAAUACGAGUACAUCCGGUCGCCACCACGGCACGCACAUUACAGUAGGAUGGACCGCUAUAGUGAGGAUUAUCGCAACGUGAAUAACAGCAAUGGAAACAUCACUUCAAUGUUUAGCGAUGAAAAUCCAAAUGCGUGUAGAAUAGUCUAGACAGGGUAGAGAAGUCAGUUUGAAAACGGAGCUCUUUCUUUUGCCUCCAAGAGAGUCUUAGCUAGAAAGUCAUUGGAGAAUAAUUAAUGAAAUAAAAGUAAUUUGUGGCCGUGAUGUUUCCUAAUAAGCACGUGAAGAUAUUGCGAGAGGAAUGAGAUUCUGAGCUUGUAAGUGGAGGAAGAAUCGAUCCUGCAUUCCACUUCUGAUAGGGCCAAUACAUACUGCCGGGUAUUCAUUUCUUAUGUAAGAAUCCUGUAAAGCAUAUAUUCUACAAGCCUAAUCCACAUCCUUCCAUUUUUCAAAAAGACAUCCAUCCUUCUCUUUAGUUUAGAUUAUCUCAUAAAAGCAUCUGCCCUUGAAAGACGAAACAAAGAUCAACAAUUUUUGCUUGUCAUAAAGUUAUGUGAACUGCCUUUUUCCAUAGUCCAUUGAUAGUACAAAUUUUCUUUUCUUUUUCUUCUCAGCUGAUUAGAUCUGCAAUGACAUUCAUAAUCUAUCAUCUAAAAUUCAAAAGAUAACAGGAUGUUCAACUCUACAAGCUGUGUGAUAUAUAUGCAUGAUGACAAACAAUGGAUCAGAAUUUCCUGCUUGGUUAAACGAUACAAUGUCCUAGAAUGUUAAAAGAAGCAUCAUAAUAGCAUAAUUUUACCAUGAUUAGUUCUCUAAUUGUCCAACCUGCACUAUAUUUGAAGUCAUGCAAAGAAGUAAAAUUAAGGAUCACCAAAGAAAGUGGUUAAAGGGGAUUCAAACCCCAAAAGAAUUUCAAGCUAUUUUGUAUAGUCACAAUCAAGAUUGACAACUACAACAGAUCCCUGAAACUAUAGUACAUUUCUUUUUAAGGUUGUAGUUAAUUACGACCAUGGGAAUUAUUAGAGGUCUAAAGCUCAGCCAUCUCCUGUACUUGAUGCCAAACCCAUCCCUAUAAGCUGACCACCAUAGAUCAUCUAGACCCUGGUGCUUAUAACUAGAGCAAACCAAAAUCCAGUUUGGCAGCAUCUCAGUAACAGCCUGAAUCAUAAGAACUGAUGCUUUUUUAUUAUUUGAACCCAGCCGCUUUGUGACAAUGGAACCUAACAGCAAAAAAGGAUCAUGCUUGAAUUUUUAGCUUCACAACAUAAAUUGAAGCAUAUUUGAGAAAGAAGAAAGUUCAAUAUUUCUCCUAGAAGAAGCAGGUAGAUGUUGUUUUUGCCCUACAUACAGAGGUUCAUUUCAUCAGGCUCCACCUCCAAGUGCAACCAGCAAAAAGGGAACAUCAAUCCUAACAGCUCAAUUUUCUGAAAAACAUGCAACAGAAGAAAGAAGUCUUCAAGUGUUUCUUUCCAGUGAUUAGAUUUGUUAAGAUUUGCCCAAACGAAAUCGGAAGAGAGAAGCAAGAAGCAAAAUAGAAAAUGAACUAUGAGAAUUAAUAUCCAAGUUUAUAUCAAACAUAAGCAUGCCCUUCAAACUACACACAAUGGCUGAAUGCCAUUAUUCUUAUAUUUUAUUUUUAAUAUCAGACAGGCCUAGCUUACAUUAAACCGUAAGAAACUUGGCUCUAACUACUGCACAAAUCUGGAGCUGAAUAUGAUUCCUUUCCACCACCAUGUAUUCAUGCCUACCAAAUAAGAGGCCUUUAUCUUAUGAUUGAUGUUUUCAAGUAUAAAAGAGUUGUGUUGUGUAAACUACCAUCAAGGGUCAUGCUCAGUCACUACACUAACAAUAAACCCAAUGAAUGGACAUAUGAAAGAUGAGCCUUCCAUGCCUCGUUGUCACCUACCAACAUCAAAUAAAAUAUUCUCACUAAUGCACAUUCUCUAUUAUUUAUGAAAAUUAAAAUACUUUCACUAUCUUCAUUGAUGGUGGAUAAAAUGAACUACAUCAAAAUUCUGCUUUCAGGCUUUUGUUAAUUGAGGUUGGUCAUUCCUUCAAAUUAUGGAGCACAAAGCAUAGCAGAGAACAAAGUUGUCGACCACCAGAUGGUUAUGAUAACUAAUGAAAUGAUAUAAAUAAAGAUAAGACAAUGACCACAUUAUUGAAGUCCCUCACAAAUAGGGUUGCAAAUGAACUGAGCUACUCAUCAUUCAUGUUGGCCCAGCUUGGUAAUAGCCUCAUUACCUUGAAUCCAGACCAAGCUCAAGCCUCAUCUUGAAGCCUGUUUAAUAAAGAAGUGAUGUAAAGCAGAAGCAACAUAGGAGAGAUCUCAAGGAAAGUAAUAAAAGAAGAAAACUUCUAUUCUUUAACUCAAACUAAUUCAAAAUCUGAAUGUACCUCAAAUGCAUGAAUAUUUCUUUUUACAACAGAAAAAACUCUAAAGCCAAAAGAAUUCUACAGCUUGCUAAAUCUUAAACUGUCAGAAAAGGUAGUCGGGUGCCAUGUUUUUUUAAUGACUUGGCAGGUAACUGCAUAUCUGACAAAAAUUCUGCCAAGCUCCAUACAUUUCAGCAAUUUCCAUUAAUGAUUCUGAUUCCACCUGACUCCGUCUGCAUCCAAGUAUGGAAGUAAUGGAACAGCAGUCACCCAUUCCAAUUCCUUGAUUCCCAAUUCCAACUAGCAUUCCUAUCCUCUCAUUCCCCCUGUCUACACAGGGCCUUACAAUAUUGUACAGCUUCAGAUAAUCUCCAUCAAGUAUUUUUCAAGUACUAAUGACUCAAAAGCCCAUGCCUAGUAAUAAAAAAGGCAAAGGGAUAUUGACUUGACAAAGAAUUAAUACCUUCUGCAGUAAGAUACAGUUAGUCAUCAUUAUCACUGCUUAUCUGGGAUUCAUCAUCUUCUUCUCCAUAAAGAACAUCCUCAACUUCUUCUUCUUCAUCUUCACUUUCAUCCACCUGGUGACCAUGUUGUAUUUGACUUAUGUUUUGGGAAGCCUUAUCAAUCUGUUAAAAGAAAGAAAUAAAGUCAAAUGCCAAAAAAAAUCAUACAACAUAUACUGAACUAAGGUGAGGAUGUGAAGUUACUAACCUGUGCCAUUACAAGCUGCAAACCACCUGAUAGCUGUAAUAAAGAUUGAACAGCCGUCCCUCUAGAUUUUGUGCUCUGAGAGGGGAAAAAACAUCAUUCAAGUCCUCCACACUAUGAAUUAUGACCCUAGAAAAGUAUGAAUAAAGUGCAACAACAUUUUGGGGAACAAACCAAUAGGAACAGCAGAGCAUGAAAACUAUGUGCAAACUAGAGAACCUACAAAUAUUAUGCAUAUCACAAAGACCCUAGAAGGUCAGCUGUGGAUAUCAUUUGAGUUGAAAGAACUAAAAUGGUCAAAUAUUUAUUUCCCAGCCCACAAAACUGAGAAGGAGCAGAGGUCAGGAUCAUGAAUACAGACCCCAACUUUAGGACUUCAAGUUCCCAAAAUCAAGACUUUGAUCUCUAAGUAGAUGUCUAGCUGUAAGGAAAGGUUCUCCUGUUGAAGUCUAGAUUUUGAUGAAACCUAUAUUGAAUUACAGAAAUUAUAUAUUUCACUAUUUCAGUGAGCUGUUAUUUCAAGUCAAACCAAAACCCAACUGAAGUUCUAAUCAUACAUCACAGGACCACUAUGGCAGGAGCUUAAGGGCUGGGAACACUCUAGGGAAAAGCUUUGGCUCUGUUUUGCAUCUCCAGCUGAUCUCAGCCUAACCCAACCAACAACCCUACUGUCAAUACCAAGGUAUGGUUAGACGUUGAACAAGCCCAAUAAUAUAUCAGUUGUCAUAUAAAAAUAAAAAUAAAACCCAUGCACAGCUUCUUUUUUUCACUUUUUGCCCAAAAAAUAAUAAUCAAACUUUAGAAUAACAUGAAUUUUCCUGAUUCGGAAAAUGAUUUAAUUUCUUUAUUAAUAUAAACAUUAAUAUAUAACAUCAAUGCAGAUAAAUGGACUAAUGAAUAAUACACUAUACAGAUUCUAUUUACAUCAAUAGUACUACUAUAGAUUGUAACCAUGUAAUAUUAAAAUUGAUAAACUUGAAUGGCAUUGCCUAUAAAGUAACUACACUAAUUGACUGGUUCCCUGAUAUAGAUUCACAUUCAAUAGUAUUCAGAAUUGUUGGCAGAUAGUCAUGAUUUUCAAGUAAAGGCCACUCCUUCACCUUUUUGAUACCCUAUAAGCCUCUUCAUUUACGCAAAAACAGUCGAACAUUAUCAAUUUAUACAUAGAAACUAAGUAAAUUUUCCCCAUCAUCUUUUCAUACAGUCUACAAACCACAAAGGGGAAGGACUCACAGAAUUAAAAAUUUCUAAUACUAACAACAAAAGCAAGUUCAUAUAUAAAAAUACAUACAUGAAGGAGAAAUGAAGAAAACAAGACUUUACCUGGUGCAAGGAAUCAAGAAGCUGGGUCACUGGUUCCUGAGAUACUAUGUGUUGACUAUGAUUCACUAAUAUAGUAUAAAUCCAUGGGAGGACAUAGUUUCCACUGCAUGACCUGUUGAAGACAACCAAAGCUCUGAGGCAGUAAAAGCAAACACUGACUUGGGCACCACCUGGCUCGUAUAUAUCUAAAAGUACUGGUGAAAAUUGGCUGAUUUGACUUUUAAGUUUAGAAAAAUAAAAACGAAGAGAAAGAGGAGGAAGAAGAAGAAGAAUAAGAACCUCCCCCAUAUAUCAAUUCUAAGGUCCACUCUUUUCUCCCUGACAUGGGUACAAUCUCCCUCAUAUUUUGUACUAAUGACAGGUAAAAAUUGAAUGCUUUAAAGAGGUCAGCCCAAAAACAUAUAUGGAAAAUUUUUAUGUCAAACAAAAAGAAUAAAGGACAAAAAAAAAACAGUAACUUUGACCAAAUAAGAAAUUUGUACUUUCUUUCAACACAAGCAAAUAUGCACAACCUUUCUUUAAAAAUAAAAUAAAAUAAGUUACAUGUGCUUGCAUCUCUCAGUCACAUCUUCCCAUGUUGUAAUUCAAUCUUUUGCAUUUUAUGGUGAUGAUCAGAAGGGAAUGGAUCAGAAUCCCCUUGCACACCACAACCAUUUUUACAUUAUUUUUGUUAAAAUCCAAAGUUGUUAUUCAACUAAAGCUAGACCAUAGACAAUUAUCAAUCAAGUACUCCGAGUGGAUUUUGGAACCACAAAUUGGGUAUGGAGGAUUGACUAAACAAGGAUUGAAAUCACACAAGUUAAGGGUAUCUCUAUAUUUUAUUUAAAAUAUGUAGCAAGCUCAUUAAAUGGGUCUCAAUCAAAUUCAGUUGAUAGUUGACGGUUUAUUUUGAGUAAAUGAUAGUUAAUAUUUUAUUUUUAGAAGAUGGUGCUAAGGGGAGGAAGAAGUCGGUUUGUGGUGGAGUCUAAGUGGUUUGAGAUUGAGAUUGAGGAGUCAGGUGGGAGUUUGAAAGGAUGCAUAUGGGAGAGAAGUAGGGGUUUUGAGUCUUGGAUUAGAUUUGGGGAGGCUAGUCUUCGUUGUCUUUUGGAAGGCGUUGAAACCUGUUGUAGAGAGGUGGAUGAUCAAAGAUGGGCUAUUGAAUGGUUGGAGGGUAACAGAAAGUUUANNNNNNNNNNNNNNNNNNNNNNNNNNNNNNNNNNNNNNNNNNNNNNNNNNNNNNNNNNNNNNNNNNNNNNNNNNNNNNNNNNNNNNNNNNNNNNNNNNNNAUUAUCCUUCCUGAAGGAAAGGGUUAGGCCAGUGGAUGGAACUCUUUGGUUAUGAGGUUGAGAGGUCUUGGAGUGACACUGACAGAAGGAUUAAAGAUUUCCAAUGUGCCAGAGUUUUCGAUGAAGCCGAAGGGAGUCCUGAAGGUUCAGUGGAAGGAAAAGGGGGUGGAAAUGAAGUCUUUUGCAGAAGCUGUUAAAUCGUCACCGAGAAGGGCGGGUGAGUCAGUGUGGUUAGAGGUAGGGGAAAAUGAGGUGCGUGGUAGACUAGAGCAUCUGAAACAUUGUCUAAUAGGGAGGUGGGGUUCUAUCUCAGUUCCACUACCUGAGUUGGAUUUCGUAAGGAAUUGGACCCGCCAGAUUUGGGAGGUUAAGGGGAAGUUGUCGAUUGCCACGUUGGGCAGGUGUAUUAUGUUGUUCGAAUUCGAUCAGGCUCAAGAGGCUGAGCGUGUUUUGGCCAGAGGCAAAAGAAGCAUUAAGGAUAAUUGGCUUAUCCUGGACAAAUGGAAUUCGGAGGUGGGGUGUUCCUUAAAGAAUCCCAUUGCCGCAGAGACAUGGGUUAGGGUGGUCGGGCUCCCACUCCAUUUCUAGUGUCUUGAGGUGUUUAAAAGUAUUGGAGAUGGGUGCGGAGGAUUUAUAGCAGUGGAUGAAGGAACCAAAUCCAUGUCUGAGCUGCAAUGGGCGAGGAUUUUGGUGAAGCGUGUGGAUUGGGAGGUCCCUAGCUCAGUUCAUAUAGCUUUGGGGACAGGGUGCUUUGCCCUUCAUCUAUGGUGGGAAUCUGCUCCUUGGUUCUCACAGGUGGUACCGGCGGGAAGCUCCUCCGAGAAAAGCGGGUUAAGGGCAGGUGAAGAAGUUGAUGGGCCUCUUCGGGUGGCUUGCUGUGGGAGUCAAAGGAAGGGGGUGGAGCAGUUGGGGUUGCAGGUGGAGGUACGAGACGUGGCGUGUAAUGGAGGAAAAACUCUCCUUCCCUCUGUUGAAGCCUCUGCAGAUGGGACUGUUGAGAGGAGAUGGGCUGGUGGCCCAGCCGACCUAGUGGGAAGGGGUAGGGAGUCUUCUCCCAUCAGUUUGGUCAACUGCGGAAGUGGGCAGGAAGGCCCAAGCAAGAGCUCUGGCCCUUCAGCUUUAAGCUGUGGGGAAGCCCAAGUCUUUUAUAGGAUCGAUUUGGGCCGGGGUCCAAGGCCCAAUCCCUGCUCCUUUAGUGUGGGGAUGUCGGGUGAGGCCUGUGGGCCUGUCCAAGCUGGGGCUUUGUUAGAUGAGGUCUUUGAUGGUUUCGAGACCCCUUCCUCGCUCCCUAGGGCUCAGUUUCUGCAGCCGAUUCCCAUCUCCAGGGGUGCUAGUCAAGACGCAAGAGGAGAAGUCGAUCCCCUCGUCGGGCUGCCGCGAGACUCGAUGGCGCGAGUUUCCUCUCAGAUGAUGGAUCGGGGGUUCCUGACUGACGAAGCUCUAUGCGAAGAGGCUUCCAGGUAUGUCGAUCUCUGUCAUAUUCCUUUGGGGGGUCGGGAUCUCUCUUCUCCUUCUUCUUCUUCUUUUGAACGGGUGACGAUGAAUGAGGGGACCACUGGUGUUUCGUUUUCUGAGGGCAUCGAAGAGGAGCAGACUUCGUUGAGUAUUAUUUUGGCUGAUGGUAGCAAGGGAGUGCUAGUCUCUAAGGGUGAGAAGCAAGUGGCUGGAGAAGGACUGGGGGGGGAGUUUGAGGGGAUGUUUCAGGAUCUAGAUGGGUGCCGGUGGGACGACAAUUACUUGGCGAGGUUUAGCAAAUUCUUGGGCUUCUCCACGGACGGGUUUGAAGGCGAAGUUCUGAAUUUGCUCCUAAGGACUAAGAGAAGAAGAUAGCAAAAUCUGAAGAAGGGCACGUCAAGGACCACUAAGUUUGAUAGGGAAUUGAAAAAACUUGAGUGGUCUAUCAAUUAUACUGGGGCAAGAAAGAAGAAAUCUGUGGUCAGAGAAGGAGGGGUUAGAAUCUCGACAGUUAGAUGAAGCUAAAGAUUCUAUCAUGGAAUGUCAGAGGGGCCAAUGACAGAAGUAAAAGGAAGGUUAUCAAGGCCCUAAUCAGAUCACAAAAGGUGGAUUUGGUGUGCUUGCAGGAGACCAAAAUCCAAGAAAUGUCCCAAGGGGUUAUUCACAGUCUUGGCGUGGGAAGAUUCUUAGGUUGGGGAGCUGUGGAUGCAAGAGGGGCAGCUGGAGGGGUGGUGGUUUUCUGGGAUAAGAGAGUUUUGGAGCUAGUAGGCCUGGAAGUGGGAAUCUUCUCAAUCUCGUGUCAAUUUAAGAAUUGCGAGGAUGGGUUUAUGUGGUUCUUCACAGGGGUCUACGGACCUACUAUGAAAAGGUUUAGAGAACCUUUUGGGGAAGAGUUAGGUGUUAUUCGAGGUUUGUGGUCUGAUCCCUGGUGCAUCGGUGGGGACUUCAAUGUUAUUAGAUUUCCCAGUGAACGGAGUAGAGUUGGAAGACUAUCUGGUCCUAUGAGAAGGUUUUCAGAGGUGCUAGAUGAGUUGGCUUUAAGAGAUAUGCCUCUUCAGGGGGGUCCUUAUACGUGGAGUGGGGGGUUAAAUGGCCAAUCCUGGUCGAGAUUGGAUCGCUUCCUGAUUUCGGAGGAUUGGGAAAACCAUUUUAGUGGAGUGUCUCAGUGCACACUACCAAGGCCUGUGUCUGACCAUUACCCAAUCCUCUUAGAUGGGGGUGGUGUUAGGAGAGGUCCUAUCCCUUUCCGUUUUGAGAAUAUGUGGUUGAAGGAUGAGGGAUUUAAGGAGCUUCUGAGGGGUUGGUGGCAAGGUUUUAAUUGCAGUGGUUCAUAUAGCUUUGUCCUCACAGAAAAACUAAAGGCUUUAAAAGUUAAGCUGAAGAAUUGGAAUAAGGAAGUCUUUGGUAAAGUGGGAGUAAAUUUGAGGAUGGCUUUGGGCAGAGUUUCUUUCUGGGAUGAUCAGGAGAGGCAGAGAACGUUAAACGAGCAGGAGUUAGAGGCUAGAAAGGAGGCCAAGGAGGAGUUUAAAAAGUGGGCGAUUAUGGAGGAAAUCUCGUGGAAGCAGAAAUCAAGACAAAUAUGGUUGAAGGAAGGAGAUAAGAACACGGGGUUCUUUCAUAAGAUGGCGAACUCUAACAGUAGAAGGAAUUGUUUGAAAAAGAUUAAAGUCAGAGGUAUUUGGCUUUCAGACAAGCAAGAUAUUCAAAGGGGAGUGGUGAGGGCCUAUCAGGAUCUGUUAUCGGAUCCUGGUGGCUAGCACCCGAGUAUGAGCAGCUUGGAGUUUGAUAGUAUUGGAAGAGAGGAGGCUGUCAGGCUGGAGGAGAUGUUCUCUUUGGAAGAAGUGUAUCUGGCCCUUUCGGAGCUAAAUGGGGACAAGGCUCCUGGACCGGAUGGAUUUCCCAUUGCCUUCUGGCAGUUUUGUUGGGAUUUUGUCAAAGACGAAAUUAUGGGCUUCUUUAAGGAUUUUUUUGAGAGGGGAAAAUUCGUUAGAAGUCUCAACUCCACGUUUCUGGUUUUAGUCCCCAAGAAAGGUGGGGCUGAGGAUUUACGUGACUAUAGACCCAUCAGCUUGGUGGGUGGUCUGUACAAGAUUCUCGCCAAGGUUCUAGCCAAUAGGCUGAAGAAAGUAGUGAGUAAGGUGGUGUCUUCGGCCCAAAAUGCCUUUGUUGAAGGAAGGCAAAUCCUUGACGCAGCGUUAAUUGCUAACGAGGCCAUAGACUCGAUGCUGAAAGGGGAUGAAGCUGGUGUGUUAUGCAAGCUGGACCUAGAGAAGGCUUAUGACCAUAUUAACUGGGAUUUUCUGAUGUUAGUGAUGCAAAAAAUGGGCUUUGGGGAGAAGUGGGCCGGCUGGAUCAAGUGGUGCAUCUCCACUGCCUCUUUCUCAGUUCUGAUUAACGGGUCACCAGCGGGUUUCUUCCAAAGCACUCGAGGGUUAAGGCAAGGGGACCCCAUUUCCCCCUACUUGUUUGUCUUAGGAAUGGAGGCCUUAAGUUGCCUCAUUAACAAAGCGAUUAGGGGGGGCUUCCUUUCCGGCUGCAGACUAAGGGGAAGGGGUGGAAAUGGGAUUCAAGUAUCUCAUUUAUUAUUUGCGGAUGAUACGCUGGUCUUUUGCAAGGACUCCCAAGACCAAAUGGUUGUUCUAAGCUGGCUUUUAAUGUGGUUUGAAGCCAUUUCUGGUCUGAAUAUUAACUUGGAAAAGAGUGAAAUUCUGCCGGUGGGAAGUGUUGAGAAUGCUGAGGUCUUGGCUUCUAAAUUGGGCUGCAAAGUGGGGUCUCUUCCUUCCACUUACUUGGGGCUGCCUCUAGGUGCUCCUCACAAAUCAGUGGUUGUGUGGGAUGGUGUGGAAGAAAGGAUGAGGAAGAGACUCGCUCUAUGGAAGAGGCAGUUUAUUUCUAAGGGGGGGAGACUCACUCUCAUUCGGAGCACUUUGGCUAGCAUGCCGAUUUAUCUUAUGUCCUUGAUGCGUAUCCCAAGAGUUGUAAGAUUGAGGCUUGAGAAAAUCCAAAGGGAUUUCCUUUGGGGAGGGGGUGCGUUGGAGAAGAGGCCUCACCUUGUAAAUUGGGAUGUGGUGCGCUCUCAAAAAAUGAAGGGUGGAUUGGGGAUCAGAAAUUUUUCUAUCCUCAAUAGGGCCCUGUUGUGUAAAUGGAGCUGGCGCUUUGCGGCUGAAAGAGAUUCUUUUGGAAACUUGUUAUCAGCUCGAAGUAUGGGGAAGAAGGAGGGUGGAUCUCUUGUGAGGUUAGGGAAGGCUAUGGGGUGGGGUUGUGGAAGGAAAUUAGAAAGGAAGGCGUUUUGUUGUUUAAAAACGCUUCCUUCACUGUAGGGGAUGGUAGAAGGGUGAAAUUUUGGAAGGACAUUUGGUGUGGAAACACUCCCCUAUGUGAGGCUUUUCCUUCUCUGUUUGCCUUUGCGGUUUCCCAAGAUGCGUGGGUAGAGGAUUGUUGGGAUUAUAUGGGGGAUGCAGGGGGAUGGAAUCCUUGUUUCUCUAGGUCUUUUAAUGACUGGGAGCUGGAGGUGGUGGCGAGUCUCCUUUCGGUCCUUCAAGGAAAGAGGCUCAAUGUUGGGAUGGAGGAUAAAGUGGUGUGGAAUGCUUCUAAGAAUGGGAGUUUCUCUGUAAAAUCCCUUUACAAUACUCUGGAUUCUGGUGGUGCAGUCCCGUUUCCGUGGAGAAUCAUAUGGAGCCCUUGCAUGCCUACUAAGGUGGGUUUUUUUGCUUGGGAAGCUUCUUAGGGGAAGGUCCUAACCCAAGAUCAUCUCAAAAGGAGGGGCUGGUCUCUAGCAAACAGAUGCUUCUUAUGUUGUGAUGAUGAGGAGACUAUUAACCACAUCCUUAUUCAUUGCCCCAAGGCGAAGGUGUUGUGGAAUCUUAUGUUUACGAUGUUUAGGGUUAAUUGGGUUCUUCAGCUCACAGUUAAAGACACUCUCCUUGGCUGGUCCGUUUCCUUUGUAGACAAGAAGCGUGGGAAGAUUUGGCGGGCAGCCCCCCUUUGUUUAUUUUGGACGAUGUGGAAAGAAAUAAAUAGGAUAGCUUUUGACAAUGAGGCUUUGUCGAUCCAAAGAUUGAAAACCUCCUUCGUUUGUAAUCUUUCCUCUUGGACUAAGUCUUGUUUAGAUGGAGAGCCCCACUCCUUAAUUAAUUUUGUAGAUUGGUUGGGCUCUAAUUGAGGGUUGGUGAGUGUAUGCUUCCUUGUGCUUUUUGUUUUUGGGGCCUCUCGUGUAUACUUCCUGUAUGCUUUGGGUUCCCUUCUUGCUUCCCUCUUUUUAAUAUAAUUUUUCUGUGUUUAUCUAUCAAAAAAAAAAAUAUUUUAUUUUUGUGUAAAAGAAUAAUAGUUUUUAUAAGUCAACAACUUUGCUUAUAUUCAUGCUCAGACAUCACCCGGUGCAUCAUACACUAUCAGUUGAAUAUGGAAAAAAAAUCAACUUACCUAAAUAAAAAGAAAAAGAAAAGAAAAGAAAUAGAUGAUUGCCACAUUAUAUGGGAAUUCAAAUUAUAAACUUAGGGAUCCCUAGAUAAAGAAAACAAAAAAGGGCAUAUGUUGCAAGAAUAGAGGCACAUACCUUGAUUGCCACAUAGUCACCAAGACUUUCAACAACUCAUAUGCAUCGCCAGGUAUUAUAGACGAAACAGCUGCCCUCAUCUGAUGGAGAAGAUAUAUAGAGAAAGAGUCAUAAGACAAACUGAAAUAGAAAAAACAAACACAUGAAACCAAAAAUACACCACUAGCAAUCUCUUUUCUAUUUCCGCAAAGAAACACACCUUCUUUGGAGGCAUAUUUUCUUCAAGACUGAUACCCUUAAAUUUUCUAGAAUUAAGCAUUGAAUUGGAUGUAAGAUCAUCUUUGUUAUCAAGCAACCCUAAUGAUCUCAGCUGCUCCUCCAAACAAGAAGUUUCAUUGGAAGCUUCAACUGAUUCCAAGCCAUCUGCAUGUACUAACAUAACAAAAAAAAUUGGACCAGGAAGAAGCAAAAUCCCUGAAGGGUAACUCCCUAACAGGAGUAGUUAAGUACAAAAAUAUUAUGACCAUAUACUUUGAGAACCUUUUCCACUAUACCAAAAGUUGAAGUCACAAUUCAAGUAGUUUUAACAGGAAGGGAAAUUCUGAAAGAGAAGUUUAUUGUUGAUUUGUGCACAUCUGAGUUUGUCAAGAAUUUGCUCAACUUAAACAAGAGUCUAACAUUGAGAUAUACACCAAAUAUUAAGAUAUCAAGAUAUUUACAAUGCCACCAACAACUCCAGACAGCUCAAGGAAAUUCAUUAGAUUGCACAAAAUUCAGGAUAUUAACUCAACACACAACCCUUCUGAAGACAUAAAAGUCCACACUGCUUCCAUCAACAAAAGCAGUGGAACAAACCCAUAAAACAUCAAUUACCAAACACAAAACAGGAUUUAUGAUCAUAUUUAUUAAAGAUGGCAUAUUCUUACAUCAAAAUCCAAGCCCAUUGCCAUCCUCAUCCUCUUGUCAAUAAAUAUUGUUAAUGGUGAACUGAAAAUCCAACUUUUCAAUGGGUAACUUGCUCUCUUGUUGAGUAGAGCAAAUAACCACAGGAAGGCAACUUUAUUUCAUGAAUAUGAGCCUUAAACAUGAGGUAGGAUUUAAAUUCAAAAUUCUGCCAACCACAUUCAGUUCAUUUAAUUUUACCUCCUCUCUGCUUCUUCCUCCAUCUUGAGGUCAAAAUCCAGCUUCCUAGUUCCAACUUCCAUUAGUGUUUCUUGAAUUUUCCUUUCCUCUACCAAAUGGCAGUAGAGUCUAUAUUGUGUCUCCAAGCAUAUGCAAAAGGAAAUACGGGAUAGACCAAAGUACCACAAGAACAUGUCAUUGCUUUUAGUGUGAGGAGAGAUCUAAAACCAAAUUUCCAUCAAAACCAUUUGAUUUAUGUAACCAUUCUUAUAGACAUCCUUCAGGAUGAUCAGGCUCAACAAACCAUCUUGAAGAAAAUAUUAAUGGUCAAGGAACCAUUGUAGGCCCCCAAUAAAAUGGAGAUUGCCCCAGUGAAAGCAACCAAUAAUUCAGUGACUCUACCAACAAAUUACAUAAGAGUUGUGUAGCUAAAAUUAGGAAACUGCUCUGGAAGAAAGUUAAGCGUACCUUUGCUUUCCACAGCCUUAUUUUGACUCCUGACAUUCAUCAAAUCAUCAGCCAUUAUCUCAUCGGGGUCAAUAUUUGAGUUUUGAUAUCUUUUAUUUUUUUCAUGAAAAUCAAAAAUCUUGGGGAUUGGAAGCAAGGCUUCUUCAGCAUUUGCACGGUCUAAAGCAGUAACUGUCAAAUAAUUAAACAAGUAUUUAGUGAUCCAUAUAAAAUGUAGAACAAAAAUUAAAAAUUUUCACAUGGGACUAUAGGGAUAAAUGUAAAAAUUUCCAUUUCUUUUUACCAUCCAUACAACAACUAUUUGAUAUUUCAAAAAAAAAUACGAAAACUUUCAGACUAACAAACCAUAAACAUCAAAUCAAGCCAAAAUUGUAAAGAGAAGACUUGGAGAACACUGAGAAAAACCAUUCCUGAGGACACAUGGAUGAAACAUUAUAAAAGACAAAAAAUAAAAUAAAAUAAAAAUUAAACAAUCAAAUGAUCUAAUUGUAUGCAUCAAAAUCAACUCUGGGAAAAUGUCGGUUGGGGGGACUUUCUUACGCGUGGAAAAAUGGAGCCCCGAAACGGGGUGUGUGAUGGAAGGGGAAGCUAGAAGCGAGGCUUGGGUGAGGAUAGUGGGGUUACCGGUCUCGUUAUGGGACUGGGACAUUCUGAGAAGAGUAGGGGAGGAAUGUGGGGGAUUCUUGGCAGUCGACACGCAAACGGAGAAGCUGGAGGAGUUGCAGUGGGCCCGGAUACUGGUGAAGGUAAACGGUGACGAGCUUCCUAAUGCGGUGGAAAUUUGGGUUGAUGAGAGGUGCUAUGUGCUAACCCUGUGGUGGGAAGUCAGACCGCUUCUGAGGAUUUUUCCGACUGAAAAAAGCGGGAAGAGAGCUGUGGUAGAUGUCGACAUUGGGGGUGAGGCAGAUACACGCGCGGGGAAGCGCGUGGUGGAGGAGGGUAACGACACGAGGCUCGAGGUCAUGAUUCAGUCUGCAGAUGGGAUGCAGAGUCAGACGUAUGGGUCAGGGCGUCCUAUGGGCUCUAUUCGGAGCCAUGAUGGGGUGUUGGGCCGGACCCGUGGAGGCAGGCCAUUGCUGGGUGGCUCCCCCAAGAAGGGCCCAGUUGAGGUCCCUCUCCCUAGUCUAGAAGUGGAUUUAGCUUUUGGUUCUUUUGGGCCGUGUCUUAAUGGGCUGUGCACAAGGAAGGAUUCUGGGCAGACCAAGGAUAAUGGAUUAAAUGAGGAGCCUGGGCUGGUAAGGGUUCAGCCCCAUUCAGUGCCAGUGGGCAAAGCCCAAGUGGGAGAGGCCACUUCUUCAAAGAGACUAGAUCCAAACUGCUUGGGAUGGCCAAAAUCAGAGUCUUCCAUUUUCUGGGAGAAGGAUGGCUUAAGAAAGCAAUUUGAAAUAGAAAUCCAAGUUGUGGAGAAAUCAAAGACUGAUCUUGCCCUAAUUGAGGAAGCUUCGAGGUAUGGGAAUGCUUUUAAUCUUAAAGGAGCAUUAGUCUCUGGAUUCUCUUCCCCUUUCUCUUUUUUUCAUGGUCGGACUCCUGAAAGGGAGUAUUACGACUAUUCUGGGACCGUGUGUGAGACCGUCCAGGGGGAAACGCCGUUAUGUAUGCUCAAUGCUUCGGGCUUCACGGAGGGUAAAACCGUUACUCAGUGGGAGCUGGUGGAGGCAAACAACGGUUGCAGUGAAGUAAGCAGAGCGGAAUUGAGACCAGAUCAAUCUAAGCCUCAAGAAGGUAGAGAUUGGGAGGAGGCCAGUUGGGAGGAGAGUGAUUUGGCUAGGUUCAGCAAUUUCUUGGGGUUCUCCACAGAGGGACUGGAGAAGGAUAUCAUGGACUUUCUGGUUAAAAUUAGAAAGAGAAGGGAAAGAAUCCAUAGUAAAUCUUUGUUGGAAAAAUCUAAAUUUGAGAGGGAGUUAAGAAGACUAGAGUGUUCUAUCAACUACGAAGGAGGGAAAAGACAGAUUGGUGGUAGGCAAGGAAGAGGGUGUCAAAUCUUAGAAGUCCUAUGAAGUUAAGACUAUUGAGUUGGAAUGUCCGUGGAGCUAAUGAUAGUUCCAAAAGGAAGGUGAUUAAGGCCCUGAUUAGAAGCCAGCGGGUGGAUGUGUUCUGCCUCCAAGAAACAAAAAUUCAAGCUAUGUCGGAGGGUGUGAUGAGAAGCUUGGGUAUGGGUAGGUUCCUAGGUUGGGGGGCCUUAGAAGUUUCAGGCUCUGCAGGAGGGAUUUUGGUAUGUUGGGAUAAAAGGACGUUGGAUGUGCUCGAUGUGGAGGUGGGCCAAUUCUCAAUUUCCUGUAGAGUCAGGAAUGUAGAAGAUGGUCUAAUUUGGAUGUUCACAGGAGUGUAUGGACCUUUCUCUAGAGAGGAAAGGGAUUGUUUGUGGGAGGAGCUAGGAGCGAUUAGAGGUCUUUGGGAUGUUCCUUGGUGCUUAGGGGGGGACUUCAAUAUUACCCUCUUUCAAGGGGAAAGAAGCAGGCAAGGAAGGAUUACUGGGGCGAUGAGAAGAUUCGCCCAGAUGGUGGACGAGCUUGAGCUGAUUGACCUUCCUUUGCAAGGGGGGAGGUGUACUUGGAAUGGGGGUAGGGAGAGUCAGUCGUGGGCUAGGCUCGACAGAUUCUUGGUGACCCAGAAUUGGCUUGAUCAUUUCAGUGGGGUGAUUCAGAGCAGGCUGCCAAGACCCACUUCAGACCACUUUCCCAUUUUGCUGGAGUGCGGAGGUCUUAGGAGGGGUCCCUCCCCGUUUAGGUUCGAAAAUAUGUGGCUUAAAGUUGUUGGGUUUAAGAACUUGCUUCGGGGGUGGUGGCAGGAGACUGUGGUGAGAGGGAAUGCCAGCUUCAGACUGGCCUCAAAGUUGAAGGAGUUGAAGAAGAAGAUCAAAGUGUGGAAUAGGGAUGUAUUUGGUCGGUUGGAAGUUAACAAAAACUUAGCUCUCCAUCAAGUAGAGCACUGGGAUGGGGUGGAAAAUGAGAGGAUCCUUUCAGAGAGGGAGACAGAGCUAAAGAAAGAAGCCAAGGAAACCUAUCAGAAGUGGGUGUUGCUGGAAGAACUCCAUUGGAGGCAACUGUCCAGGGAACUUUGGUUAAAGGAAGGGGAUAAGAACACAGGCUACUUCCAUCGAAUGGCAAACGCACACCAAAGAAAUAAUACAUUGGACAGAAUCAAGAUUAAUGGGGUAUGGCUGUCGGAGGAGCAGGAGGUGAAGGAGGGGAUUGUCAAUGCCUUUCAGCAGCUUCUCUCAGAAGAGUCAGGCUGGAAAGCUGACAUAGAGGGGUUGCAUCUAAGUCAUUUAAGUAGUCAAGAAGCUGGAAAUUUGGAGUUACCUUUCUCUGAAGAUGAAAUACAUUCUGCCUUGAUGGAUAUGGAUGGGGACAAAGCCCCAGGCCCGGAUGGGUUUACAGUAGCUUUUUGGCAAGAAUGCUGGGACUUUGUGAAGGAGGAGAUCCUGGAGUUAUUCAAGGAAUUUUAUGACCAAAGAUCUUUUGCAAAGAGCUUGAAUACAACGUUUCUGGUUCUUAUUCCAAAGAAAGGAGGCGCCGAGGAUUUGGGUGACUUUAGGCCGAUCAGCCUAUUAGGGGGAUUGUACAAGCUUUUGGCUAAGGUGUUGGCAAAUAGGCUGAAGAAGGUCCUAGGAAGGGUGGUUUCCUUGGACCAAAAUGCGUUUGUGAAGGGGAGACAAAUAUUGGACGCUUCGCUUAUAGCUAACGAGGUGAUUGAUACUUGGCAAAAACGCAAGGAGAAAGGGUUGAUUUGUAAACUGGACAUUGAAAAAGCCUAUGACAGCAUAAAUUGGGAUUUUCUUAUGAAGAUUCUGUGUAAAUUGGGCUUUGGGUCUAGGUGGAUGGAGUGGAUCUGGUGGUGCAUUUCAACUGCCAAAUUCUCUGUUCUUGUUAAUGGAGUGCCAACAGGCUUCUUUUCAAGCACCAAGGGGUUGCGUCAGGGAGACCCCCUUUCUCCUUACCUUUUUGUCUUGGGUAUGGAAGUGCUUAGUGCACUUUUAAGAAGGGCUGCUGUCGGGGGUUUCUUUUCAGGCUGCAGAUUUUGGGGGAGGAGCAGGAUGGAGUUAAAUGUCUCUCAUUUGCUUUUUGCGGAUGACACAAUUAUUUUUUGUGAAGCAAGGAAAGAAAACAUGACUUUUCUAAGCUGGAUUCUGGCUUGGUUCGAGGCUGCGUCUGGGUUAAGGAUAAAUUUAGCCAAAAGUGAGUUAAUUCCAGUUGGCGAGGUGGAAGAGAUUGAGGAGAUGGCCGUGGAGCUAGGUUGUAGGGUGGGGUAUUUGCCCAAUGUGUAUUUGGGGCUGCCGUUAAGGGCUUCCCACAAGGCUUCCUCGAUGUGGGAUGGGGUGGAGGAGAAAAUGAGGAGAAGAUUAGCCUUGUGGAAAAGGCAAUAUAUUUCCAAAGACGGGAGGGUUACCCUCAUUAAGAGCACACUGGCCAGCAUGCCAAUUUACCAAUUGUCCCUCUUUCGAAUGCCCAAGAUGGUGGCAAGAAGGCUCGAAAAGCUACAAAGAGACUUCCUUUGGGGAGGGGGAAGCUUGGAAAGGAAAGUUCACUUAAUUAAUUGGGAGGUGGUGUGUGCUCAAAAGGAGAAGGGGGGUCUUGGCAUUAGGAGGAUUGCCCUUUUGAAUAAGGUUUUGCUGGGAAAAUGGUUAUGGAGGUUUGCCUUUGAAAAGGAUAAGCUUUGGAAGAAGGUGAUUAUGGAGAAGUUUGGUCAAGAGGGCCUUGGUUGGAGGACUAAUGAGGCUCGUGGGACGUUUGGAGUGGGAGUUUGGAAGGAGAUUCUGAAGGAGGCUGAUUGGUGUUGGGAUAACAUAGAGUUCAAGGUGGGUAAAGGGACCAAAGUUAGGUUCUGGACUGACCAUUGGUGCGGCAAUGCAGCGCUGUCUCAAAUUUUCCCCCUUUUAUUCGAAUUGGCAGCUCAUAGGAAUGCAACGGUUAAUGAAGUUUGGGACCCUAAUUUUGGCCAAGGAAGUUGGAACAUCAGUUUCUCUAGAGACUUUAAUGAUUGGGAGGUGGAUUUGGUAGGUAAUUUGCUGUCUAUGCUAAGGGACUACAAAAUUUCUUCAGAGGAGGAUUCGGUUUUCUGGAAAGGUGGGGGAAGUGGCAUUUUUAGGGUUAAGGAGGCUUACAAUCUGCUUGUUGAUUCAAAUGAUAUUGUAUUUCCGAAAAAGUGCAUUUGGGUGGACAAGGUCCCAACUAAAGUUGUGUUUUUUGCUUGGGAGGUCACGUGGGGGAAGGUUCUAACCCUGGAUAGGCUUCAAAAUAAGGGGGUGGCAGCUCCCUAACCGAUGUUUUUUGUGUGGGUGUGAAGAAGAAACUGUAAAUCACAUUCUUCUACAUUGUACAGUGAUCCGGGUUCUUUGGGAGAUUGUCCUAGUCUUGUUUGGCAUUCAGUGGGUGUUUCCAUAAACGAUUAAAGAUAUGCUUUUCAGUUGGAGGGGUUCUUUUGUGGGGAAAAAAAGGAAAAAGACUUGGAUUUCCAUCCCGUUGUGUAUUUUUUGGACGGUUUGGAAGGAAAAGAAUAGAUUAGCUUUUAGGGGGGGAUUCUUAUCUAUACAGAAACUCAAAAAUUCUUUUGUAUGUAAUCUGUGGAGUUGGGCUAGGGUGUAUAUUGGAGAGGAGUCCUCUUCACUCUUAGGUUUUCUAGAGUGGCUAGCGUCCACUUGAGGGUAGGUGUGGUUGUGGGCUUCUUCUGGUUUUUGGGUUUGGCUGCUUUGUAUACGUCCUGUAUGCUGUGUGGCUUUUUGCCUUUUUAAUCUAAUAUCUGCUUACUUAUCAAAAAAAAAAAAAUCAAACAAAUACUAAAAAUAAGAAGAUUUCACAGGAGUUGAUGGCUCCCACCUAAAGAAUCUCCAUGCCAAAGAUUAAGAUUGCCCUUUUUCACCCAUCUUUGAUAUUUUUAUGGAACCAUAAAAGAUAAGGAAAAUGGUCAAAGAAAUGGGCAGCAAGAGACCACUACCAUCCAGGUGUAUCAAGUUUGAUCAGAAGCAAAUCAUUUUUGUAUAAAACCUAGUUUAUUCUAUGAAAGAAAAACUUCAUUGUAAAUAAAAUAUGAAUUUCCAAAACUUUUGUACAGGUUUCUAAGACAUUAGGAUCCAUACUGUAGUGUUCAACUAAUUAAAACAGAGUCAAUAGUAAAAAUUUUGAUCAAGCCUUACCUCCAUCUUUCACACCAAGCCCUUUCUUAGAUUUAUGAGACUGGUCCAUUGGUAGAAGGAUACCAUCCUGGGAGAUGUUUAUCUUGAUGUCUGUGCCAGAAUGCACUAUGACUUUCUGAAAUGACGGCUUUACUAGUGAACCAUAGGCAACAAAUACAUCACCUGAUGCAGGUUUGACAACACCUUGUAAUUUCGCAGCAAAUAUUGUAGGCAAUGAACCCUUGUGAUUCUUAGAGAAGUUGUCUUCAAGAGAUACUGAAACUUUUGUGGGCUUUGUAUUACGUAAGUCCUCCAUAUUCUUUGCAUACCAAAAAUAACAAACACCAAUUUCAGAAAUAGCCAAGACAUAUAAGCCUGACUUAUCUGUAUCCCCAUUGUCAAUGCACCUGCUAUCUAGGAAGACAGCAGGGUGCUCCAUUGCAAGAACACAGCUGGCUGACUGUUUUUUGCUACCAUCAAUUCUCCAAACUGCAAUAUAUCUCUCACCAAUAGCAGAUGAUAGGAUGUACUCCCCAUCAUCAGUAAAGAUCAUACAGCGAACAGCUCCCUGUUAAUGAGUGAAGAGAUAAUUUACUCAACUAUGAACAGAAAAUAAAAAAGAUAACCAGUUUACUCCACACAUCAGGUUGAUUGUUUUGAAUGAGAUGAAAUAGGAGUAAACUUGAUAAGAAAUAUAAAAACUGAAUAGGACUCACAGGAUGACCAGAAAACUUCUGUAUCUUCUUGUGAUCAGAAGAAUUGAGGAUCUUUAAUUGAGCAGCUGCAGUCGCCAAUACCUUUCCAUCUGAGGUGGACAAAUUCCCAUCCAAGUGGCAUUAUCAUAAAAAGAAGAGUAAUCAGCAUACUGAAAAAUCUUGCAUUCUGGUUUCCAGCAUAGACAAUUUCCUGUCUUCCCAGUGGCUUUUAAUGCUUUAUUCUUGUAAUAUUAGUAAAUUGUCCAUUUUGUGUAUUCAUUUAAUAGUAACCAUAGAGCCAUCUUCAAGACAUGAGCUCCAUCAUUCCACAUGACAUUCUUCAUAAAAUUUUUUUUUUUUUUUUAUCAGUGACAUUCUUCAUAAAAUAUUUAAUUCAGUUGACAAUCAAACACUAAUUUACCAUCGAAUAAUGUGUUUGCUUCUACAUAAAAUAAAGCAACAGCAACUCAAAAGCUAAGGGCAAAGACCUGACGAAACAGACAUAGAUGAUAUUGCCUUUGUAGAAGCUCUAAACUUCCCCAAUAGGUUUCCUGCACUGGAAUCGAUUUUGGAAAUCAUCCCAUCAGCUCCAGCAGCAUAAAUGCAUGAACCAUCAGUAGAACAUGAAAUAGCACUAACACCCCUGCACAUUGUAGAAGCAAAUCCGGUUGAUCAGGCAUUCCAAGUGUAAAUGCUGUGUUUUAACAUUAUGAAUAUUCAGCCCGCAUCAUCCAUUUAAUUAAUAGAGUUUGUCCAUUAAAUUCUCAGAGUGAGAGAGAGAGCGAGAGAGAGAGACCAGCAUGCUACAAAUGGCAUUCCAUCACCUAAAACACAAUAAACUUUUUUGGUCUCACCAUCCGGUCACAGCAAUAUAAUUUGAAUUGAAUAGUAAUGGCUUAACUCAAUUCCUCAUUUUCUACCAUGUCUUCUAUGUACUUUAGACAGAAAAUGUGCAUUAGUAUAUCACAUCACUGUAUCUAAUUUAAGAAUCAAUCAUAAGAAGGAAUUUGAUGCAAUUCAAAUUGCAGAUAAAUAAAUGAGAUUAUAGAUAUUAGAAGAACAAAAAAGUUUUGAAAAACAAGGUUCAUCCUUUGGUCCUAAUAAUACUUGCUAUUUUUUUUUUUUAUAAGUAAACACAAAAAAUAUAUAUAUAUUAGAAGAAAGGGCGCCUUAAGGUUGACCCAAAGCAUACAGGGGCAUACAAGAGGCGCCAAAAAGCAAAAACAAAAAGAAGAGGAGAUACAAAAUAUUACCAGUCCUCAUCUAGAACCCAACCAAUCAAAAAGGUUGAUUAAAGGAAGAGGUCCUUCAUCUAUAAUCAACUUAGUCCAAAACCAAAAAUUACAUACAAAAGAAUUUUUCAUCCUAUGAAUUGAAAGCUCCUCAUUUUCAAAAGCAAUUAUAUUUCUUUCCUUCCAAACCACCCAAAAAAGACAUAAGGGGGCUGUCAUCCGCACCUUACUACGCUUCUUGCCCAUGUUGAUACCAUGUCAACCAAGAAGGGUAUCUCUAACCAAAUAAGGAAGCACCCACAUCACUCCAAAAAGAGCAAACAAUAACUCCCAUAAAAUUCUUGCCUUGGUGCAAUGAAUUAGAAUAUGAUCAAUAAACUUUUCUUCCGCACAACAAAGGAAGCAUCUAUUAGCUAAAGUCCACCCCCUCUUUUUAAGUUGAUCCAAAGUUAACACCUUACCCCAAGAGGCUUCCCAAGCAAAAAAAACCACUUUAGUAGGAACACAAGGGCUCCAAAUGAUGUUCUUUGAAAACUGAAUAGCACUUCUUGAAUCUAGAGCACUAUAAAGAGAUUUUACAAAAAAAAAUCUCGUCCUUAGUCUCUUUCCACAGCACCCUAUCUUCCAAAUUAGGAUUAAGCCACCUUCUUUGUAUUGUCACUAGUAACUUCCCCACCUCCUCCACUUCCCAAUCAUUGAAAGGCCUAGAGAACCUAGGACUCCAACAGUCCAACCCCCUUCCACGCUCGUUGAGUCCCACAACUCCACUAACCAAGCCUCUUUAGAAGUUGUUAAGGCAUACAAAGAGGAUAAAGAAUCACAAAGAGCAAUGUUCUUGCACCAUUUGUCUUUCCAAAAUUUCACUCUUCUACCAUCCCCCACAAAAAAUACAACUUUGUUUUGCAAAAGAGACUCUUCCUUCUUGAUUUCCUUUCAAAAUCCCACACUAAACCCUUCCCUCACAUCCCUAGUACACCACCCUCCUUCUUCCUCCCCAAACUUCCUACUAACCAAGCCUCCUAAUAAUACUUGCUAUAUUGCAUUAAUUAGAAGGAAUCAAGGGUUAAUUAAGUAUGAAGCAUGAAAUUGUCUAGGAAAUUUGUGUCAAGAUAUGUUAGAAUGAAAGAAAGUUUGAAUAUUGCUCCACAGUAGGAUUGGUUUUUAUUCAUGGCAUAGGAUUUUUUUUCUUAGGCUAGGAUGGAUUGGGUUCAACUAGGCAAUAUUUACAAUAUGAUGAUGAUUUCCUUCAAGUGUUUUAGAAAUUCUAUCAAAGACAGGACUCUUUGGAGGAUAGCAUGUCUCUCCUUGUUGUGGAUUGUGAGGAGAGAGAGGAAUGCUAGGAUUUUCAAGGGUACUUUGAGGACGCCGGAGAUUAUGUGGGAUUCGCUUCAGUUCUAUGUUUCCUUUUGGGCUUAUUGUACAGACAUUUUUAAACCGUAUCCUUUGAGUGUAAUUCAACUUAGUUGGCUGUCGAUUUGAACACCCUAGGGUUGGGUCUACAAGUUCUAGGUUUGUCAUAUGUGUAUAAGCCUUUUGUCCUUUUUGUAUAGUCUUCCUUGUUUAGUAGAGGUUUACUCAGUUUUUGGUUAGGUUUGUACAUCAUGGGGAGGACUUAUCAUCCUUCUCAUGUUUUUCUCUUUUAAUACAAUUGUUUGCCUCUGUUCAAAAAAAAAUAUUGCUCCAACAGUCAGGUCUGGGAAUCAAGCCCUUCAGGAAGCUAUAAGAGGGAUAAAUACCGCAUCCAAACUCAAGUUAACUAACUGAAAGAAAACUCUAGCAACUUACAAAAAAUGUACCUUUACAUUUAAAAAUAAUGAAAAGAAAGAAAGCUGUUAGCAAGGAACUCACCCAGGAUGGCAGUCACCAAUUCUCCACUUCAACUCACCAGCAGAUACAUCAAGUGCUAAAACAUCACCGCUGCCUGUUCCUAGCACUAAUAAUGAACAUCGAAGCUUCCUUUUUUUCUGCCAAUCAUUAACAGAUGACAAAAUAAAGAUAUAGGUUACCAAUCCAAAAAUGUAAUGGCAAAGCAAUUCUUCAAUUAAAUUUUAAUUAAAACAACUAAACAAGGACCUUGCUGUCCAGAGACAACCACUUCAAGCAAGUAUAAUCAACUGAAAGGUGCCCUCUUUCAGGUUUGCUGUAUAAAUUAGUUGUGUCUGUUGAUAUGAUGUCUGCAAAUUCAGUCUGAACCUGACCCUUCAAAGUAUCCCAAAUCUGAACAGAGAAAAAAGUAAAAUUAUAAUCUACAUGAACCACUAAACAAACCACAGGUAACAACCUGUUUCCUCUUUCAACAAAUAUCCCUAUCAAUAUACUUAAACAUUCAUAUAUACAUUAAAAACUAAUAUAGAUUUUCAGAAAUAGCUUACCAACCGGAAGAGGGUUCAAACAAUAAACAAAGACAAAACAAUUCUAGCACUGAUCAUUAAAGAUCCAAAAGUAUAUCAAAUUUAGUAAAAAGAAACAGACCAAAACCUACAAAAUUAUUGUUAAACAAGUGAAAAACAAAACAUUAAAUUAUCUAUUAUCACUCUUGGAGACUGACAGUAUGAAAAUAAGUUCAAAUGCCUCAGAUUCCUUCAUCUCCAUUCUUAAUUCCUAGCCUCUUCAACAACCAAGUUUCAAGUACCUUAAUUCGUCCAUCUCCAGAACUGAUAGCAAAGAAGUCCAAAGAAGGGCUAAAGGUUGUUAAUAAAUCUCGGAUAUUCGAUGGGCCCAUGGUCCUGUAUCAAAAGAAUAAAUUAAAUGUCAAAGUCCUUACAAUUCAUAAUUUACAAAUUAGAAAUGAAAUUGUAGAUAUACGAGAGGUGUUCCAAGACGUUAUUAAGGGAGAUUGACUGUAACUGCCUAUUGAUAAAGAAACAAAACAACUUACCAUGACGAAAAUAAUAUAGCUCAAAAUCACAGUAGGAAGUGCCAAAAAAAGGUGGCAAUCCUAUGAAACAUAUGAUGAAGAAGAGAUAAAAAAAAUGUAUAAGAAAGUCACAGCAUUAAAAAUUUUAAAGCUCGCCAAUAUGUUGCCAAUCCAGUAAAUCAUUUCAUUAACUAAACUGAUUCAGCACUCAAGCUCUAAUAACCUUCGUUUGGUAGCGGAGAAAAUGGAAGAGAAGGAGGAAAAAAAUGCAAUAUCAUGCUAUCUGUUACUGAAUCAAGCCAAACAAUUCAGUUAAACUUGGCUAAACAGCAGUUUUAGCUUUCUCAGCCUGAGUAACGAAAAUUCAAGAUUUUAUCUCUUUUACUUUCCUGCAUUUUCUCAGCUUCCCGGUUUGUCUACGGACAAACUAGAGGAAAAUAAAAAGAAACUAAAACCAAAAACCAGGUAUUUUCAGUUGUUCUCCAUAAAAAGCAAACGAAAAAUCAACAGAACUAAAUCCUGAGAAAUUACCGAUCCGGAUCAGGCUGAAUUUCCGGUUCUCUUAGAAAAUCUUAUAUAGCAGUUCCAAUAAGGGACCGUCGUGCAUCAUCAUACUAAUUUUCCUCCGUUUUUCAGCAACCAAACAGAGGAUAAACUUGUUUUGAGGAGAUGAUGCACGCUUACCUGUUUUGGCGACCGGCGGCGGCGAGAAGCAAAGAAAAAGAGAGAACGAGAGAGGGGUUUUACCUGUUUUGGCGACCGGCAGCGGCGAGAAGCAAAGAAAAAGAGAGAACGAGAGUGGGGUUUUAGGAACGCAGCCGCGUAGCUGCUCUUUUCACAAGGGCCCCUUUUUUUUUCUUUUUCUUUUUUUCUUUUUUUUUUUUCAAUUUUAGGAUUUUUCAUUUUAGCCUCCAUAUUUGAGUGUAUUUAGAUUUGUGGAACCUGUUUUGGGGCUUUUUGUUAGGUACAAUUGAGAUGGGCUGAACCAAAAAGCCCGCCAGGAUGAACAACAUUAAUGGGCCUGAAUUUUAAACCUGUGGAUGGGCUUUGUACUGGAUUCAGCUGUCUGAGCCCAAUGAGUGUUGAAUGUGUUUCUAUAUAAAAUUAAAUUUUUAACAUUGAAAUAUAAGGACUUACUUAAAAACACAUUUGGUAACUCUAUUUUUUUUGGUUAAUAAUGGACUUUAAGAAAAAUAUAUUAUUUUUUAGAAUAAAUUUGAGGCAUGUUUAGGUAUUUUUUGUGGUAAAGAGUUUUGAGAAACAAUGGGAAANNNNNNNNNNNNNNNNNNNNNNNNNNNNNNNNNNNNNNNNNNNNNNNNNNNNNNNNNNNNNNNNNNNNNNNNNNNNNNNNNNNNNNNNNNNNNNNNNNNNUACUUACACGAGGCUUUCAUGAAAAAUAAAUCAAUAAAAACAAUUUUCAUAUUUGAAUUUUGAAACAUAAAACAACUCAGAACUGUUUUUAAAAAUUGUUCUUAAAAAUAGUUUUUUAUUAAGUCACCUUCAAGGAAGCUUUUAUCUUUUAUUUUUCUAUGUUUCAUCCUUGCAUAAAGGGAGUAUAAAGACGUAAGUUAAUCUAAUUAACAAAUAUAGAUAAUCAUCCGAUAAAUGAGUAAAUUAGGUGAUGAUCUCUUUAUAUAUGCAAGUAAUGAAUGUGAUGAAAAAUGAAAAAAAAAUAAGGGGAGAGAUGUUGUAAAUAAAGCGUUUUUAUUGUGGUUCAACUACCUAUCCACUUCCACACCUUGAUAGAUUUCACAAUUUUAAAAGUUUUCUUAAUCAUUAUUCUCCUUAUUAUUCUUUAAGUUUGGAUUUCUUAAGUUUCAAUAGACUUUUACAAUCACUAAGGUGGUGUUUGUUUUUCACUUACUUCCAAAUAUAAGUUAAAACUAAAUAAUACUUAAUAAUAUCAAGUAUUAGGUUGUUUUUUUUUAUAACAUUUUAUUUCUAUAUAAUAUUAAAAAGUAAAGAAAAAUCAAUAUAUUAUUUUUUUCAUUAAAAAAAAGUCAAAUAUUUUGAUUUUUUUAAGCUAAAAAUUUAUAAUAAAAAAUAAAAAAUAAAAAUAAAAACAAAUAAACAAACAACUUAAAGUGUAAAAACAGAUUGUUUUCAACAAAAAUUUAAAAAAACAAACACCUUUUAAAUAAGAUUCCUUAACCACUCGUACAAUAGAUCCUUUAAACACAAAAUGUAAUGAAUGAAUACAACUCUGGUGAAAUGACUAAAGUGCUCACAAUGAAAAGAUAAACAAGUUUGGAUUCAAUAUAAUUUUGGGUUAUCUAAUUAAAAGGGUCAUUAAAAACCCAAUUUUGGAAAUAUAACCUUUCAUCAAUUUUUUACCUCAUUUUAACAAAAAUGCUCUUAUUAUUUUCUUAUAAAAAUAAUCAUUUCUUUUAAACCACACUAUAAAUAUUUCAAAUAGUCAAGGGCUUUUAUGUAAAAAAAAAAUGAAUUACUCUUCAAAUAAAAAUAUUGGAGGGAAUAAAUUCACAAAUAUGGGGUAUUUCAUCCCUUUUAACUAAUUAUUUCUAUAAUUUUAAGAGUUUAAGAAGGCUAGACAAAGACUAAUUAUUAGACACAUUUUGUAAAAACACUAAUUAUUAGACACAUUUUUCGCUCGACACUUUUUUUUUUUAUAAUCAAUGGAAGAUAGGAAUACAAUCUACUACUUUGGUCAAUUAAGCAAUCAUACAAUUGACUACAACCUAGUCAUUAGACAUUUUUUUUUUUAUAAUAAUUAAAAGACAUAAAUACAAUCGAUUACUUUGGUCAAUUAAUCAAUUAUUCAAGAAAUUUAGAAAAAUAUUGGAUAAAAGAUAUAUAUAACGGAUUAUUUCAAAUUGAAACUUAAGAUCAAAAAUCUUGCUUAUAAUGUUGAAAAAUCUUGUAAAACACAAGUUUUUAUCUUUGAAGUAAUCAAUUUCAUUUUUCACAAAAAAAUCAUUAAUAAUACAUGAAUGAAUUCUUUUAAAAAAUCUUAUAAAAAAUGUGAUUAUUUUUCAUUCCCAAAUACUUAGGUUCUAAAGGUCAAUUUUAAAGCAUACUUAUCCUUACUAUGCCUUACAAGAAAAACUAUUCUAUACAUAUGAUCUUGUAAAAAAGUGUAAAUAAAAAAAUAAUAAAAAGAAAAAAGAAAAAAAAAACCUCCCUUGUUUUCCUCUUUUGACCGGAUAUCAUUAUCAUACUUAAAAUUAAAUAUUUAAUCAAAAUAUUAUUUUACUAUCAUCAAAAUUUAGAUUUAACCAAACUUUAGGCUAGUAUGUUGAUAUGACAAGUUAAUUUUCUAUCUUAAAGUUUUAAAAACUUUUGAAAUUAAACAUUUUCUUACACAUUUAUUUUUAAAGUUUUUAGCAUAAAAUUUAAAAUUGAAGCUUUUAAAGGAAAACCUCAUAAUAUAAUAUACUAGAGAGACAUGGUCAAACAAAUAGAGACGAAGCCUCAAAAGGAAGGGGCAAUGGUUGAACCACUUGACAUUGUUGCCUACUACUAAGAUGGUGUAAGAAACAACAUAACCAAUGGAACAUAUGCACAUUAAACAUAGUACAAUUAUUAUAAAUGUCUUAUACAUUAUGUGUGAAAAUACGAAAUAAAUAAAUAAAAUUAUAUUCAACAUUUAUAUUUGUAUACAAACAAUAUUUUCCGAUAGUUUGAUAUAAAAAAACAAAUAAAAAAAAAUGAAGAAAAACAUAUAAAUAUAUUUUCAAUGGACAAACUUAUUCAAUUAGUAUAAAUAUCUUGUAUAUUUAAUACAUAUACCUUAUACUUUGUGAAAAUGCAAAAAUAUAGUAUUUGAUAUUUAUACAUGUGGGUAAGUAAUUUUUCUAAUGGUUUGAUUUAAAAAACAAAUAAUGAUAAUCAAGAAAAACAUGCAAAUAAAUUAGUGUGAAUGAUAAAGGGUGUUUUUUACCAUAAAUUUUCAUGGGCUUAGCAUCAAUUAUGCAUCUAUAGAUGUUAACCCAAUUAGCAUAAUGUGAAAACCCUUACACACAAUAUAUAAACCCUAUACUUGAAUUAGGAAGGACAAAAAAAAAAAAUAGUUAGAGCAUUUGGUACCAUCAAUGAUGACUUCACCUAAAAAAAAGGUUAAUGAACAUUAUGUUUUCACUGGAAGAGCAACUCUGGUAGGACAUAUGAAGUAAAUCAAUGCUCUUUUUUUAACGACGAAGUAGCGAAGUCAAGAUAAUAAGGUUUUACUAACAACAUUAAAGACACGAAUUCCCCAAUAUACUCCAAUUCAUAUUCAAUUGACAGAGCAAACCCAAGUCAACACAUAAGAUUGAUUAUUACUUGUGAUAAUUGAAACCCUAAUUAAAUAAUUAAUGACACAAAUAUAUACAUAAAAAAUAGGGACAUUUGUAUUUUGGACCUCAGGUGAGUCCAAAAAUUAAGGUUUGGUUAAUAUAACUUACAUAAUUGACGAAAAUGAUAUAAGUUAUCAAAAGACCAAAAUACUCAUUGACAUUUCACGUAAGCUUUUUUGGUCUUUAUUGCACCACUAUUCAUGCAACCAUAAUAAUUAUAUUUUAACCAUUUAGAUUUUUCAUUGUUUUUUAAAACUUUUUUUUAUAAAUAAUUGAAAAUUAGCAUUAUUUUCUAUUUUAAAUUAUAAAUAAAGAAAAAUUACGUUCAAAAACUAUUUUAAAAAAUGCUUUCUAAAAAAAUGGUAAUAUGAUUUUAUAUUUUUUAUAUUUUCUUUUAGAAAAAAAAUUUUAAUUAAAAAAUGAAAAAUAAUAAAAAUUGAAAACCUUGUUUAGUACUAUUUUUUAUAUGAAAAUAAUAAAAAGAAUUAAAUUUCAUUCAUUAAUUAUCCAUUAAAUUUUAUAUGAAAAAUUUUUAUAAGAGUAAAAAGAUUCAAUAUCUUUAAAAAAAAACAAAACAAAACAAAAAGUUAAAAAUGAGUAAUACUUAAUUGGGAAUAGAAAAGGGGAAAAAAUACAAAAAAAAAAAUUGAAAUUUACACUCACUAUGUGCCAGGCAGGGAUUAAGGUAGUUUAGGGAUUAAUGAAAGAUAAUAUCAUUUAACUUAAUUUUUACACUUUAUUUGGGUUUUGGGCUUAAAUGUGCAUAAUAUAUGAAUCUUUGGUCAAUUUUUGGGCCCAACUAGGCCCAAAACACAAUUCUCUCUAAAAAAAUAUUUAUUAAAUAAAUAAACUAAUAAAAAUCAUUUAAAGAGUUUCAUAACUUAGUGUGGAAGCUAUUAUAAGAAAAAAGUAUUAUAUAAUAUAGAGUCUAGUUUCAAAGUUUAAAUUUAAGUCUUAAGACAAAUUCACAUUCAAAACUAGGUUUUUAAGUUUGAAAAAUAGAUCUCUUAAACCAAUUAAACGGUAAAAAAAAAAAUUAAAAAGAAAAUUUCUCUAGCUGGUUUCUUCAUCUUGAAAACUAACGGAAAUAUAUAUCAAUAUUUGAUAUGAAAAUUCGUAACCUUAGAAACACAGAACAAAGAGAGUCUGAAGAGACUAUACCAUGAGAGCUUUUCCGAAAGGUUGGUAAAACAUCGUAAUCACCUUUGAGUCUUGCUGAGAAAACAAAGCUUAUUUGCUCGUAGACCAUCGUAGUGGUCGUCAUACCGUGUGAGGACCGGGGAAGCAUCUUUGCUCGUAGACCGGCUUUUGUAGUCUUUCUUUAACAAUUACAAGUUGUCAGGAUUCCCUUCAUCCUCCCAAAUAAUAUUGUUUUUGGUCUUGUUCUGGUUGCAUCUCCGUGGAAGGAAAGAAGAUGAAUCAAGUUCCUUUGUAAGUAUCAAUGUCUCUGAUUCAUUUUUUGGUUCCUAGAAUCGAAUCCUCGCUCUGUUCUUGCUUAAUUUCUCCUUUUUCUGUUGGGUCUUUCACUGCAGGUUUAGCUCUGCACGGGAACUGGCAAAUUUGGUGCUGAGCUCCAAUCUAAUCGACUGUGCUUUCACCAAAAUUCUUGAACUUAAGAGAGGCCAAACAGCCUUGCCUGUUCAAUACAGACUUUAUCAACUGUCUUCCAAGUGCACAAUUGUAGCUUUUGUCUCUUCACCUGACUGCACUCAAUACCCUCUUCCUGGACAAGGAGAUUUAGAUCGGUCUCCUCUCUUUGACUUCCUCCGUACCGAAGAAUACCCGUCCGUCUCCAUUAACAGAGCAGCAUUAGCCCUCUUUACCCCUCUCCAUGAUCAUCUCUCUGGACUAACAGAUGAGGUCAAAAUCUGAUACUUGUUUGAAUUUUCGUUUCCUUUUCGUUAACAAUUGUGAGACACGAAACAGCUUGACCAUGAGAUCUCCCUCAUGGAGUCGAACUACCUGAAGGAUAAGACGUCACACAUAUCCAUUUUCAUGGCAUCGUCACAUGACCCAUUGAUCGGUUGUGAUUCAACUCUUAAUAGGAACACAGUAGAACUGGUGUUGGUAUCUGUCUUUAGAUCAGCUUGCAUAUAUCUUGUCACUGAAAAAGGAAUGUUCAGAAGUGAGAUUAGUGGCAUUAUUCUGACAUGGAUUUCAUAUGGUUACUUGUUUUGCAGUUGACUCAGAUUGAAGGUCAGUUAAUCAUCACUGGGCACUCCCUGGGAGGAUCCGUUGCUUCUCUCUUCACCUUACGCCUGCUAGAUGGCAAUUUAUUAAAACCCAAAUGCCGCCCCUUUUGUAUCACCUUUGGUUCACCCCUUAUAGGCGACUUUGGCCUCCAACACUCCAUAUGGAAUUCUUUCUUCCUGCAUGUAGUGUCUAACCAAGACCCAGUCCCCGGACUCUUCCUCCCAUCCGGCAGAUCUCCGCUCACAUCCUCCCAUUCACAAACUACCGGUUACAAGC